GAGAAGGUCGCGACUCUUUAUUACUCGAAUUUGACUGAUGCGGCGUCGUUGCAGAGGAUUAAUAAUUAUCCACCGACGAGGAUUCCGGAUAGGGGGACGCUUAAUGUGACCGUGAAUUGUUCGUGUGGCGAUGCUGACGUGUCUAAGCAGUACCGGUUGUUUGUUACGUAUCCGUUGAGACCGGGUGAUAGCUUGCAGUCGAUUGCGAGGAAUGUGGGUUUGAGUGACAGUUUGCUGCAGAAUUAUAAUCCUGGUGUGAAUUUUACUCGUGGGAGUGGUUUGGUCUUUAUUCCGGGCAGAGGUGAUUGUUUCUUCCUGUCAAAGAUUUAAUUUUGUGUGCUUUAGACAAUACUGAUACGAAGUUAAUGAAUCUUUUUUUUUUUUUUUUGGUUAAAUGAGGGUUUGAAAAUUGUGUUGAAAAGGGUAAUUAUUUGAUGGGAAUUUGAUGCAUAGCUGUGGCAUUUGUUAAUUUAAGGUAUGUCUGGAUUGAGAUGUUGUGGCUUUUUUAAUUUACAGCUGUUCUGUAACACACACCUCACCAGCAGUGGGUGGAUGGUUUUGUAAACAUUAACUGCCAAGUAAAAUGGAUAUAUACCAAAUGGUUUUGAUGUUCUGCUUACACAGUUAAGUAGAAGCAGGACAAUUACAAACCUAUCCUUAUAUGAUGAGUUUGAGGUUUAGAGGUUCGUAUAUUUAGUGAGGACAAUCAAAUGGGAUACGGGUGUUGGUCAUAGGGUUUGGUGUGGAGUUAAGGUAAAUAAUUAUCUUCUGGUUCAAAAGUUUGAUUGGACUUACUAUUUUAUAGUGGCUCAGGGUUAGUAUUGUACGUUGUAGAUUUUGCUUUAGAAUGUCUACUAGCUUCACUCUUCAGUGAAUUUCUUGUCAGUUGGUGCUGUUUGGAGGUUUGUGGGUUAGCAGGAGUUGUUAUGUAUUCAUGUGUGGAGAAGUUAGUAUGCAGCAACUUUUGUUUUAUGUUUUGGUUAUAAUUACUGGAAUAACCCUUUGUUUUGUCAAGCCAUUGGCAUAGAUGAUUUGAGUAGUAGCACCAUGCAGCGGAUAAGGAUAUUAUAUGUUAGAUACUUUUUUUUCCCUGUUCUAUAAUCUGGUGAAUUUUGUAAUGCUACUAUUUAUUAUGGACCUGUUAACCAUUUUGGAAGAGCAAAUCGGUAUCCCCUCAAAAUUGGGCAAACUGUUAACUAGAUGGGUUAUGGAACAGUAUGCAACUGUUCUGUACAUUCACAGUCUUUAAAAUGAUUCCUAUUUAUUUUUUGUUGUGUCUUAAGUUUUCUAUAGUUUCUUUCUAGUGAUAUUGUAGGGGACCCAAGUGCCAACAUUUGCUUACUGAAAUGCAAUAGAAAACACCAAGUUAUUGGAUUCCUUGGUUGUUAACUAGUGCACUCAUUAUAUUUUCAGAAAAUUAUUAACGGUUUGACCUACAGAAAUCAAGUAGCAGAAUUUUAAUUCCAUUGGCAUAUUGACUGGUUUCUCCAAAUCAUUCCUUCUUAUUGCAGAUGCAAAUGGUGUCUUUCCGGCCCUGGAGUCAUCAAGGUAACUUCUGCUAGGUCCAUCUUUAUGCUUACUAAAUUUGUUGUCUGUUGUUUAAUUUUGAAUCUUUUAUGAGUCUUCUAAUGUUCUUAUUUUUUGUCUUUCUUUCCCUUUUGCAGCACAGGUGGUUUGGUCUUCCCUGCAUGUUAGUUUUAUGACAAUUAUCUUCAGUUUGGAAUGCUGACGUGACAUGGUAAACUAGAAACUUAAUGCUGCUUUUAGCUUAUUUUUAACUUUUAUAUAAGCAGGAAUAGCUGGUGGAGCUAUUGCUGGCAUAUCUAUAGCAGGAGUAGCUGGGUUGGCUUUGCUUGCAGUUUGUGUGUAUGUUGGAUUUUACCGAAAGAAGAGGGUGAAGAGGGCAGCAUUGCUCUCAGCCACAUCUCAAGAUCUUUCCGUUCAGUCUGGAUCUGGUACUCUAUCAUUUUCAGCUUCUUGUUUGUUUAUUUUGGACAAAUGUGAAUUAUACAGUACAUAGUGAUUCCAGCUUCCCUCAAAUUUCUUUAGACUUAUCUUUCCUCUUAAUGAUACCCAAAAUUUAAUAUAAACUACUGGUGAUUGCCUGUUCUGAAAAUUUUAAGAUCUAAAGUUGUGAGAUAUGUCAGCAGAAAAUUGCUGUUUAUAUUCUUGUUUCGAGUCAACAGUAUCCAUAUGUUAAUUGCAAUACGCUGUCUUUUCCUUUUCUUUUUAAUUUUUAUCCUCUUCUGGUUAUGGAGCAUUCUGAUCGAUACAAUCAUCCUACUUCUCCAAUGUGUUUACUUUGUCCCCUCUUCCCCUCUCUGUGCAUACAGUGGAACAAAAUUAGCGUGCUUUACUGCUUUUUCUUGUUCUUAUGAUCUUGAAGAUGAUGAUAUCAAACUUUAAGCAUUUUUCUCCUUGAAUUACAUAGAUAAAACUGUGGAAUCUACUGGUCCAGCUGCUGGCACUCCCACAUCCCUUAAUGCAAUCACUGUGGACAAGUCGGUGGAAUUCUCAUAUGAAGAACUUUCCAAGGCAACUGAUAAUUUCAGUAUGUCCCAUAAAAUUGGUCAAGGUGGUUUUGGAGCUGUUUACUAUGCAGAGCUGAGAGGAGAGGUCUGUAGUUCUGUGCCUUUUCAUUUGUCAUAAAUUAAUUGUUGAAGAAGAGUCUGAUUCUGAAUUAUUGUAUACUAUUGUUUUAUUAGCUCAGUUCUUGCUUGUGUCUGACCAAGUAACAUUUUCCAUGCACCAAGUAAAUUGUCAAGCAGUGAAUUUGAAAUAUAUCAUUUGAGAUACCUUUUAGAUUUCAGAUGUGAAUGCCAGGAUAUUUCAUCAAUCGACUGUUAUAAAUAGAUCAUUUGAGACACCUUUUUAGAUUUCAGAGGUGAAUGCUUAGAUAUUUCAUCAAUGAACAAUUAAAUAAUCUAGAAAAGAAAGUCAUUCAAGCUUAUAUCAAGGUUCAACAUAAUUGCUUUCUGCAAGUUACAUAGCAUAAUCUGACAUCAUAAUAUCUUUACUGAAUUUUUGGCAAUUCAUACUUUUUUGGUUUGUGUGAUUUUGGCCACAAUUUAGGGAGCAGGAGGUCAUUAUGAGAGGAUCAGUUAUCCAUGGUUCUCAUAGUUGAGACAAGUAUAGGGAUAUGUGGCUUAGUUAACUGCAAUUGUGUUGGAUAGUUAAAAGUGAAUAUAAGAUAUGAAUGAACUUUGCUGCUUCAGUAUUAGGUUAGGUACUUUGCUGCUUCAGUAUUAGGUUAGGUUAACGUUGACUUGGGGGAAAUUAUUUACAUUAUUAAUGACAUGCGCUAUGCUUGUUGCCCAAGUGUAACGCAAUUUUGCCUUUUCUAAUAUUUCCUUAAAUUUCACCUUUGCGCAUGUUUCAGUGUGUAUUGGCAUACUGCAUGUGCUUUUUAUGCAUGGACGCAUUACUGCCAGCAUUGUCAACAUCAUAUUGCUUCUUUGUUAAGCAUGGAAAUUCCUAUCUAUCAAGACUCAUCCGUGUAAACCUCUUGAUGCAGAAAGCUGCUAUAAAAAAGAUGGAUAUGCAAGCAUCGAGGGAAUUUCUUGCUGAAUUGAAGGUUCUAACGCACGUUCAUCACUUGAACUUGGUAAUAUGCAUGGGUGGUCCUUUUUCUCUUUUUUUCCCCUUUUUGAUUGGUUGAUCAUAGACUGUUUACUUUGUUAAUCGAUUGGCAUUACAUGUCAUUAACAUCCAAUGCAGGUGCGCCUAAUUGGAUACUGUGUUGAAGGUUCUCUUUUCCUUGUUUAUGAAUACAUUGAGAAUGGCAACUUAAGCGAACAUUUACGUGGAUCAGGUAAAGUUAGAAACCCCUGGUAAGUAUUGUUUCUUGUCGCAGCACAUUGAGAGUAAUGCUGAUUAUAUGUUUCUCUAUCUUCAGGUAGGGAUCCUCUGCCAUGGUCUUCUAGGGUGCAAAUUGCUCUUGAUUCAGCAAGAGGUCUGGAGUAUAUUCAUGAGCACACAGUCCCUGUUUAUAUUCAUCGAGAUAUUAAAUCAGCAAAUAUAUUGAUAGACAAGAACUUCCAUGCAAAGGUUACAUUCGUACCUCUGUUGCCAAGGUGCUCUCUGAAGCCUGUUCACAACUUGUAAUGAAUCAUUGACAUUGCAGGUUGCUGACUUUGGAUUAACGAAACUGACAGAAGUUGGAAGUGCAUCACUCCCCACACGUCUUGUGGGCACAUUUGGAUACAUGCCUCCAGAGUAAGAUGAUCUUCUCUUUAUUAUUUUAAUUUGGCAAAGUAAAACUAAGCAUUAAUUGUCAGGAAUGACCGACUUUGAACAAUUGGUUUCUGGAUGCUUCUAGCAGCUUGCACUAGUAUUGAAUAUCUGACCUCAGGUGCAUUGAAUGUUUUUCAUGAUUGUUUAGUAAUCAAGAUGUAAUGCUUGCUAUACGUGGGUAGGCAUGCAGAGAAGCCAAAAUUUUAAUUAUUUUUAUAAUCUACUAAUAGUUUGGCCCAAGCCUGAGCCAAGACCCAGAGAUAUGUUCAGAUCAUUUUGGCUGGACUGGAAAAAAAUUUUUUGAGGGAAAAAAAAAAAAUUUGGAGAGAGGGAGAAUUGGAGACCUAAAAUAUUGAGGUGCCAGUAUGUGAUGUUCUCUGGAUGUAUUGAUUACUGCAAGAAAAAGAGCAUGAUGGAACUCCAAGGAUGAGUUUUGCAUUCUUUGCCUCAAAAAGAUAUAUCUUUUUUCUUUUUGUCUUUUAGAAAAUUGGACUAAACUUUUUUUAAUGCUUAAUAUAAAAAAAAAAAAUCUUAAUGCUUUGCAGAUAUGCUCAAUACGGUGAUGUUUCUCCCAAAGUAGAUGUAUAUGCCUUUGGGGUUGUCCUCUACGAACUUAUUUCUGCCAAAGAAGCCAUAGUCAAGGGUAAUGGUUCCUCUGCCGAUUCAAAGGGCCUUGUUGCUUUGGUUAGUUUUCUUGUCAUUUCUUUAGUUCCUUUAAGAGAGGUGAUAAGUGAGCUCAUACUCAAUGGUCUUGUCUUGAAAUAUAAAUCAAAGUUAAAAUCAUUCGCUGUCCACAUAAUGACAAUUUUGAGCUGAUUAGUUUCUGUAACAUAUCAAGCUUAUAGUUAGUUGGUUUUCACUUGUCUGACUCCACUCACCUUGAGCUGGUUGGAAGACCAGCCAUGAACAGUUUUUUAUUGUCUUUGUUUGCUUCACAGUUCGAGGAAGUUCUUAAUCUGCCUGACCCAAUAGAGGAUCUUCGUAAACUUGUUGAUCCUCGGCUUGGAGACAACUGUCCACUGGACUCUGUCCUCAAGGUGAGAACAAUUGUAAAGGAAAAGUACAGUAACAUUCUGUUUCAUGAUUUCAGUUUGUUGAAACAAUGUUUUCUGCUUCAAUUUCAGAUGGCCCAGCUUGCCAAGGUGUGCACACAAGAAUAUCCGCAACUACGUCCUAGUAUGAGAUCCAUUGUGGUUGCCCUAAUGACUCUUUCUUCGACAACGGAGGAUUGGGAUGUUGGUUCCUUCUAUGAAAAUCACGCUCUUGUCAAUCUAAUGUCGGGAAGGUAGUGACGGCGCCGUCCUCGUAUUAUUAAGUUUAGUCAUUUCACUAUCGUUUAUUGUCUGUAAAUGCAUAUGGUUGAGAUUUACCGCAAGGCAAUAAAAUUUAUUUGCAGUUUGUUAAGCUUGGAAAGAAAAGACUCAUGUUUUGGUUUUUUAAUCAUCUUCAUUCUUAAUCAUUUAUUGUUCUAGUUGGCAUCGUCUAUCUAAAUUUAAGGAUGAAAAUCUUUUGAUCGUUGUAACAUCAACAGCUUGCAGCUGUAAGGCCGAUUGUCGUUAUCAAUUUUACAAGGAGAUGAGUCUUUGUUGAGCAGAACAAGAAAAACUUAAAGAGGAAAAUGCUAUAAAAUACCUAUUCCCUGUGCUGCAAGAAACAAACUCCACCGUAGGGCCAAAGCUGGAAGCCUAAAACCGCAAUUGCCACUUGAGCUGUAGGUGUCAAUGCAAGUCAUGCAGAAUUAGAGCAUUCUUAAAAUAUGAUGCAUUUAUUAACUUGAAGCAGAAACUUGACUAUAAACGGCACAAAUGGACACAAAUACCAACAAAUAUCUGCUCGCAUUGGUUGGUAAGCAGAACACAGAAAAGACAAUUAACAAUGCGCUCUCUGUCUUGGGCCACAAGAAAAGGGCAUGUUUGACCCUGCACGUCUCGUGUCAACAUCAGUUUCCAGGCUCCAAAUAAAUAAGCGUAGGUUAAUUAGAAAAUCCUAAUUGCUAUAAGCCCAGAAAAGUCAACUGUUAAUUACCUUUUGCGCACGCACUUGAGCCAACCUUCUUUCUUUUUUGGCGAAACCCUUUUCACGGACAGUCUGGAAGAAAGAUUUCAUGGGCCGUACGAGCACAAGAUCGAUCUUCUCACUCUAUUUGAUUUUAUACAUCUUUUUCUAUUUUUUUCCCCUUUAAACGUAUAUUAAAAGAAUAACCCAGUAAAAUAUCUUCCUUCCCUUCAUUAGUCUUUUCUUUGCAUUCUCUCCAAAUCCAAUGGUCGUUGGUCGUAGCCAUGGAAGAAGCACACCAAGAAGAAGCGCUUAUCAGCCACCUGCUACAAGACCUUUUCGUUAAUGAAAAAGCGGGUGACGAGUCUGAGUCAGAAUCACUACCUAAUGCUAAUAAUCUUGAUGAGGUGGAAGAGAUUCUGGGUUACAGAUUUAACAACAAAAACUUAUUAGAAGAAGCUUUUACUGAUCCUUCAUGUCCCGAAAGGUUCUUUUCGUAUGAGCGUUUAGAGUACGUGGGUGACUCGGUGCUUAAUCUAUUGCUCACGAAGGAACAGUUCUUUCUGUACCCGAAUUUGCCACCAGGAUCAUUGACUCGGCUCCGUUCAGCCAAUGUCAACACAGAGAAGCUCGCACGUGUUGCCAUUAAAUUAGGGUUGCACAAGUAUCUACGCCACAACAAGCCUCUUCUUGAAGAACAAGUAAGUCGCACAAUGUUUGAACAUGUCAAUGCGUUAUUUAAUAUUUGUAUUAAUUAGCCGAUAAAAUUGAUGAUGUGGCUGUAUCCGAUUCAUCAAUGGUUGGUGCAUGCGGUUUGAUACUUUGAUAAAUGGCAUUGAUUGUGGUCGUGACACCUUAGACAUUUGAGUUUCGAAUUUUAUGGCAUCAAUUUCAACCAAAUUUUGCUAUUGAUGGGGAACGAUCAAAAAUUGUGUAGCUUCCAAGAAUUAAUUUAGUCCAGAUUUUAAUUUUUAAUUUUUGGAUGUUUCUAUGCCCAUAUAUAUAUAUAUAUAUAUAGUCGUUCUCUAUGAUAGAAACUCUUAUUUUUUUUAUACAUGAAUACACCCCAGUUCAUUGGAAUAAGUUUUUAAUACUAUUAAAUCUUAUAAUUUUAUAGUGUAUUAAAAAUAACUCUAUUAAGUGGCACAUCUUAACAGUACGUCCGCAUUAGAAAAAAUAAAGACGUCUACACUUAAGGAUGAUUUUAUAUGUAUAUAUAUAUAUAUAUAUAUAUAUAUACACACACACCUUGGUAAAUUGUGUUUGUAGUUCUUCCGUACACAAAAUGGAACAAAGGGUUUGUCAUGCUCUAACUUGGUUUAUGGUGUUGACUGCUUAUGUUUUGGGUAAAAUAAAAAUUACACUAAUUUAGCUUAGUUAAGAUGUAACGUUUUAGGAGUUGCGCUGCACUCAUCUUAAAUAUGGGGGUUUAAGGGUGCGUUUGAGAUUUGAGGUUGGACAAUUAUACCUUAAAAGUUACAACAUUAAGUGUUUGGUAACUACUAACUGCUGUAGUUUCGAAACAAUGUUAAAAUGAUUUUUUGCUUGUAUAACGGAAAAUUAUUGUAUCUUUAAUAAUUUUAUCAAAAUUAUUAUUUAAAAGUUACAUUUAUUAUAUAUUACUAAUUUUUAUUUCAUAAUUAUAGUUUUUUUUUCCACAACAACUUAAUCUCAAAUGCACCAUAAUCUUACUUUGAUAAUUGGUCUCGCUGACAAUUAUUAUUAACUUGUACAGAUCAGAGAAUUUUCAGAAGCUAUAUUGGACUAUCCUUUGCAUUCCAAUGGUCUAGUUGAUGCACCCAAGGUCUUAGCCGAUAUCGUUGAAUCAACAAUUGGGGCAGUCUUCAUUGACUGCAAUUCUUCAAUAGAUAUUGUUUGGAAGGUACUUCAAUGAUUUAAAUCUUUUCCCUGUCUCCUUAAUUUCUUCAUAUUUUAUAUAUUCUCAUAGUCUAGCCAUAAAAACAUUUAAAACUUUCCAAUGAUAAUAGAAAUAGAUAGUUAUUUGGGUCAAUAGAAAACCGAGUCGAGUUAAAACACAACAGCCACAAAUGAGCACUAAUCUUGCAUAUAAAUCAAGAACUUUAUUGUGGUGUCCAUUUUCUAUAUAUACAAAUAAAGUUUAUUCUUUUGCAAAUUAAUGCGGUUGUGUGAUUUUUGGCUGUCGGACAGGUAUUUAAGGAACUAUUAAAGCCAAUGAUUAGUCCAGAAACACUCAAGACACACCCAGUGACUGAACUUUAUGAAGUGUGCCAGAAGAAUAAAUUGAAAGUGAAGUUUGUGGAUUUGUGGAAGGAAAGCACGGCUUUUCAUAUUUUCAUAGAAGACCAACUUCUGGGUAGAGGUGCUUAUGCUCCGAAGAAGGAAAUUGCACAUAACAGGGCUGCAAAAGAUGCAUUAAACAACAUUGAGAGGCUCUUGAAUGAAAAAGAUAACUCUGAAAAGGAUGGUUCCGUGGACUGACAUUAACGAUCAAUUUGAAAUGUAAAGCUGCACGUGCUUUCUUUGUAUUGUAGAUCUUUUUUGUGAGAAAUAUGGAAUCCGCAUUGCACAGAUGACAAACUCGACCUUAAUUCUUUCUUGUUCCUGUUGUUGCGACUAGUAGGGGUUAUACCAUGUUAAUAAACUAAGUUCCCAUGACUUUCCUUCAUUAUUACAUUCAAAUGAUUAGUUCAACUGUUUAAGAUCUCUGGAGUUACCACAAUUGAAGGUUGGGUGUUCCAAAUCUUGCCUAUAGUUUAGAGCAGAUUUGCAUGCAUAUAUCGUGCAUCUUGAGCUUCUAAUAUCAAAUUUUUAUACGUAAGUUAGAUGAGGCUUAAACUUUUUAGCACUAACUUUGCAAUUAAGCCUUUGUUUGGUAUUGUUUUUUAUGCCCUAAUUUUUUAGUUCGCAACAAUGAAAAAUUGAAAAACUUGUUCAUUUUUUUCGUUUAAUGUGAACAAAAUGAAAAAUUGAAAAACUUGUUCAAUUUUUUCGUUUAAUGUGAACAAAAGAUCAGCUCUUGAUUUCAAAAAAAAAAAAAACUAAAAGAAAAAUGAAAAAUGUGAAUAAAAAUCAAGAAUUAUUUCUUUAAGCUGUUAUUCUCUAUAUUUUUCAUUAUCCUUAGUUGAUUUCUUUUUCCGAAUAUUUGAAAGCAAAUUCUGACUUAUAUUUUAAAAGCAGAUUUAUGAAUUGAACCAUCACAAGAUUAAUCCUCGAAGAUGAACGGGGCUAAGCGAUCCCAAAAUUGUGGGAUGUAAAAGUGCAUCGAUAAGAAAGUAUUUUGCCUUAGGGGGAAGCACCAGCAUCAUUAGUGAUGGUGGACGAAACAGAAGAAAGAAUGCCGACCUGAGUAAUUCAAAUAUUGUUGAGCAAUCUAUUGCCUUGAAAACUCAAGUGCUCCUCUUAGGGGAGGGCAGAAUCAAACUUGAUCCAAAAAAUUACCAAUUUAGUUGGGUUCAGUUUUUAAGAGGUUCGUUGGUAUUUUUUCUUAAAAAAGACUGAAUAAUUCAAUUCAGUAUAAAAUUGAAUACUCUAACUUAAUUUUUAGUUUAAAUUUUUUAUUCCAGAACUAAACCACAAAAUCAAAAAAUAAUUUUUAACUUAAGAAUGCCACGUGGGCUGUGGCAUUUAGGGUGGGCCAAAUCGAACUAGACCUAAAAAAAUCUGGUUCAAAUCGUUUUUUUUUUUUUUUUUUUGUUUCGGUUUGGUGUUUUAUGAUUAUCAAAAUUAAGGAUGCGUUUGGGAUUGAGGUGCUGUAGCUUUUAAGUUACAGUUGUUGUGAAAAAAAAAAGCUAUAAUUAUGAAACAAAAGUUAAUAAUAUAUAGUAAAUAUAAAUUUUAAAUAAUAAUUUUGAUAAAAUUAUUAAAGAUAUAAUAAAUUUUAUAUUAUACAAGUGAAAAAUCAUAUAAACAUAGCUUAAAAGCUACAGCAGCUAAUGUUUACCAAAUACUUUAGUACUGUAACUUUUAAGCUACAGCUGUCCAACCUCAAUCCCAAACGCACCCUAAAUCGAAUGGAAAUUCCCAAAUCAAUUUUUUGAAAUUCUCAAAUCAAACCAAACUAAAAAUUUCGGUUUAUUCUAAAAAAUUUGUCCACGGAAGGUGAGCCAAGGCCUACGAUUAGGCCGACAGGUGUAGUGGAUAGAUAACUAGUGAAUAUUCAUGUUUUGGAGGUAUUGGUAAUUGUUAAGCCGUACAUAUAUUAUCUUUCAAAAAAACAAAGUUUCUGAAUAUAUUUAGAAAUGUACUUAAAAAAAAAGAUAAAUUAGAGAUGCUCAAAAUUUCCCAUGAGUCAAUUGGUGGGCUCUAUUAGUGCUAAAAAUAGUACUACAAACACCCUAUAAGAAGUACUUAAGUUAAGGGCCUAGAUAGGAUUGUUUUCUAAAAACUCAAAAGUAAUUUUGAAAAGUUAAGAAUUAAUUUUAUUGCUUGAUAAUUUUUUUUAAAUUACUUUUGAUAAAAUCAUCCCACUAUAUAAUAGAUUUUGAAAGUUAAGAAAGAAUUAAUUUUUGAAAAUCUAAUUUUGAGAAUUAAUUUUAUAUUUAACACAGCUUGAUAUAUAUCCUUAUAUACAUGGUGAAAAAAAAAUCAAAAUUAUCCUUAUUAAUUAAGAAAUAAAAUCAUUAACAAUAAAGAGAUUAUUAUUACCAAUUAUAUUGAGAUAAAAAAUAAAAAAAUAAAAUUAAUAAUAUAAAUAUUUAUUAGUUAUCAAUUAUUAUAUUCAAAAAAUAUAAAAUAUUUUAUAUACUUGUUUAUAAAUGUGUAAAUAAAUGUUAUUCAACAUUAUGUCUAUUUUAAUUAUUUAUAUUUUUACAACAAUUUGAUAGUACUAUUUAGUACACAAUAUUAGGGUUGGCAAUGGGACGGGAUGGGAUGCGAUUUACCAAUCCCAAUCUUGUCCUGUAUAUGUAAGUAGGAUAAAAAAACAUCUCACUCCAGUCUCUAUAUAUUUUUGUGGGAUAAAAAUAUAUCACAAUCCCUUCCCAAACAGGAUGGGAUUCUCCAUUAGGAAAAAUUGUCAUCCCUAGUACCCAUAUAUGAUUACUUCUAAAAUAAAUUUUACUAAAUAUUUAAUUGAUUCUCGUCAUAGCUAAUUAUUUCUGCAGUAAAGGUAACAAUAAUUAUUUUAAAAGUGAUAGCAUUAUCUACCCUAACACUCAUUUAAAAGUCUUAAGAAACCUCUUAAACUAUAUGACCACUGUUUUAACCUUUACUAAAAAAAGAGAAAAAAAUUAGAAAAAAAAAAUCAAAGUGAGAGAUACUUUCUAUAAUUCCUUCGCUUUUAGAAGGGAGUUAUCUUCAAGAAAUUAAUUAAAAAUUGUUUUAUUAAAUUUUCUCUUUAAAAAACAACCAUAGAUGAGUCAAGUUCAAAGAAAGAUAGUGGGUUAGGUCUUCCUUGGGAAAAGAUAUGAUAAUGAAAAUAUUAUAUUUAGAAUCCAACCAAAAAUCUCAAAAAGUUCACCUACAACUAUAUAUACGAUGGGGAAAAACAAUUUAAAUGGAGUCAUAAUAGAGUGAGCUUAGAAUCGAUUAUGGAAUCAUAAUAGAGAGAGAUUAGAACAGAGUUUAGGGAGAGAAGUUGUUAAAAGGAAAAAUGUAAAAUAGAUUAACUUAUUAUUUGGGAUUUAUCUAGAAGGUUAUUUAUGGAAUUUUAACAGGUAUAAUUUGGAGGGGUAAAAAAGGGGUUUUCAUGAGAUAAAUUAUGGGGCGGCAGGAGGACCACUCAAUUAUAUUUUUAUUUUUUCUAAUAUAAAACAAGUGCCAUUAGGUAUAUAUGUGGGGUAUAGAUAGAAUCACUCACUCGGUUGGGCCUACGAACGUCAACGAAAGGCCCAGAUUAUUCUGGAAGCCCGACAGGUUUAAAAAAGAAUCCGACUCCGACCAGACAAAACAAAACUGAACUCGAUUUCCUUUUUAUUUAUUUAUUUGUUUAUUAUUAUUCUUAUUUAUUUAUUUAUUUUUUGCUUUUUCUGAUAUGUGAACUCGAUUUCCUUAUUCUUAGCGAACACGAAGCUUCGACUGUUCUUUUAACUCUCCCUCAUCAUCAUUACCGAUCACCUUAAAUACUACACCAACCCAUCUCAAAAACAAAAUCAAAAGAGGAAAAAAAGAAUUCUCGAUCAAACUUCAAAAAAGGGCGUUAAAAGAAAAUUUCAAUUUUGAAGGAAAAAAAUUAUGGAUUUUGAGCUGAGGAGAGCGAGAGAGAAGCUAGAGAAAGAGCAAAAGGAGAGGAAAGAAAGAGCGAGAUUGAAGCUUGAAAGAGAGAAGAAGGCUAAAGAAGAGGCUAAGAAACAACGUGAAGCCAUUGAAGCUGCCCAGAGAUCCCGUAGACUCGAUGCCAUUGAUGCCCAGCUCAAGGUACCAUUUUCUUCUUUCAUUAUCUAUUUUCGUUCUUGUAUUAAGUUGUUGAUUUGAUUACAUGUUUUUUUAUGGGCGUUUGUGAUUUAUGUUGCAAAUAAUUGUGUUUCUUUUUUUUUUUGUGGGGGGGAGCAUGUGUUAUAUGUUUAUUGAGGGUGACACCAAUGUGUAUAUCUAAGUAAAUUUGAUGAUGGGGAAAUUUUUUUUUAUUUAUUUGUUAAAUGAUGCAGUUGACCUUACCAGAUAUGAUUAUGUUGGCAUGAAUGUUAAUUAGAAGUUCUUUAGGCAUUGCUGAUAUUAUUUCCAUAAUUAUGUUGUAGUUUUAAAUGUUGCCUUGGAUUGAGUCGGCUUUAUUGACAAGGGUUUUUGAAUUUUUUUUUGGCAGGCUGAUCAAGAGAUGCAGGAAAGUUUGCUUGCUGGAGGAGGAAUUGUGUUUUAUCGUACGUUAGAAGCUUUGCCUUUUCAGGGCAGUGGAGAUAAGAUCAAAUUGCCUCCGUCCUGUUUCACUGAAUUGUCUGGUCAAGGUGCAUUUGAUAAGGGUCCUCUGCAUUUCAAAUUAUCAGUGCUUCACCAAGAAGGUCCAUCGAAUAUGGUAGAUGGCGAGAAAGAAAGUAAUCGGAGCACCCAUUCAGGUGUUUUGGAGUUCACUGCUGAUGAAGGUUUUGUUGGACUUCCUCCUCAUGUAUGGAGAAAUUUAUUCCCUAGUGAUACUCCAAACAAUUCGUUUGUUGAAGUUCGCUAUGUUCGACUGCCGAAAGGAACUUAUGCAAAACUUCAGCCUGAGGGGAUUGGUUUUGCAGAAUUACCCAAUCAAAAGGCUGUUCUUGAAACAAGCCUUCGCCAGCAUGCCACCCUUUCUCAAGAUGAUGUACUCACUGUCAAUUAUGGGGAGUUGGCAUACAAGUUAAAAGUUCUUGAGUUGAAACCCUCUUCAAGCGUAUCUGUUCUGGAAACAGAUAUUGAGGUCGAUAUAGUGAGUCCAGAUGAUAUGUCAGCGGGGACGGAUCAGUAUACGCUUAAGCCGCUUCUAUUUGGAAAGUCGGAAUCUGGAAUGGUUGAAGAAGGAAAGUAUGUGUUUUACAAGUUUACAAUUGAUGAUGAUACUCGUAAGAAAAUUGUAUCUGGGGAGAAAAGGGCUGAAGUGAGGGUUGACUCAGAGAUAGAUGGAGGAGACACUAGCAUUUAUGUAUCUAGGCAUCCCCUCUUGUUUCCAACCCGUCAUCUACACGAAUGGUCUUCUCAUGAUGCAGGUUCAAAGGUUGUAAUCCUUAGUUCCAAGGAUAAGUCUGUGGAUGUUGGUACAUAUAGCAUUGGUGUGUAUGGCUUCAAGGGCAUGACAAAGUUCCAGGUUUUGGUGACUCUUGAGGAUGAUAGUGGCCGUAAGGUGGGUCAAGAAGCAACAUCUUCCUCAUCUUCUAUUGAAAUGGAUACCGUGCAGUGUAAAAAUUGCAAGCGUUUCAUACCCAGCCGGAGUAUAGUGUUGCAUGAAGCUUAUUGUAGCAGACAUAGUGUAGCCUGUCAGCAUGCUGGUUGUGGGAUGGUUCUUAGGACUGAGGAAGCCAGAGACCAUGUCCACUGUGACAAAUGUGGGCAAGGUCUUCAGCGCAGAGAAAUGGAGAAGCACAUGAAAGUGUUUCAUGAGCAAUGUAGUUGCCCUUGUGGAGUAGUCCUUGAGAACGCGGCAAUGGUAAGCUAUUGUCCUUUACCUUGAAAUUCCUUAUGUAAAUCUUUUUUUCCUUUUCAACCCUUCAUCAUGCUGUUUGGUUUUGUGUUUUGAUAGUCUAGCUGCUUCAUCUUUUGACCUACUUUAAGAUCCUACAUGAUCCUCUUGUGUUCUUCUAGCGUGAGGAAGGAUGGUCAUUUGUUUUGCAUAUUAUCUUGUCAGUGCUAUUGUGCACCAUGCCCUAGUGAAAAACUGGUUCUUUAAUGGGGCCAUCAGAAUCACAAUAGCUUGGAUGCGAACUGGAUUAAAUAAGAUAAGCAAGAUAUUUGUGCAAUGAAUGACAAUUUUAAGUGACAGGCAGUAUUGCGUUGCAUUACUAGACAAUUUUAAGUGACAUGCAGUAUUGCGUUGCAUUACUAGACAAUUUUAAGUGACAUGCAGUAUUGCGUUGCAUUACUAGUAUGUCUUAAUAACCAUCCGCCAGUGCAUAUAUUAAGAAAGCCGUGCCCUUAUAUCUACAUAAAGUGGAAAGGAAAUGAUAAGAAAUUCUUCAUGCAGCAAGUUGUAGAGAUGCAAUAAAGCUUGAUGUUACUUUAUGGAAAUCCUGCAAGUUAAAAUGUUAUCUUUUGGGACUAAGAAAAUGUAGAAGUCUAAGAUACUGACUUUUUGCAGACUAUAAUUGGACUUAAAUUAUUGUUUAGGAAUAUCUGAUCAUCCGCUUUUUUUUCUUUUGACAGGUGCGGCAUCAAGCCUCGGAUUGCCCUCUACGCCUAAUUACAUGCAGGUUUUGUGGGGACAUGGUCCAAGCUGGAACAUCAGCUAUGGAUGUUCGGGAUAGAAUGAGGGGGCUAUCUGAGCAUGAGAGCAUUUGUGGAUCACGGACUGCUCCAUGUGAUUCUUGUGGGCGUGCUGUCAUGUUGAAGGACAUGGACAUCCACCAAAUCGCUGUUCAUCAGAAGAGCUAAUGCGGGGUACACAAUUUCUCAGUUCUCACACAACUGAGUCUCUGGCAUGGGUAUUUUAUACAUCACAGCUUAGACAUAAAUACAAUCUUUGCUGCAAUGAGAAUUCCCAUUUGAAGUGAAGAUCCACUUUAUCCGUAUUCACUGGAUUUCAGGAGUUAUAUAGUUGAUACCAUAACUGAUUUGGGUGCUAGUGCAUGGGCAAAGAGACAUAGAAAUGUGGAUCACGUGGGUUGUAAUGUUGCAUCUGAUGUAAUUUAUUAUUCGUUUCUCUUGAAUAAUAUGUUUUUGGGAUUUGGCUGCCAGUCUGGUUUCCAAACAAAUGUGAACUGACUUUCCUAUACAUUUUGAUCUUAUCUAAUUAAAUCACGCGACGCUGCAUGUUCUUUGUAUCAUGACAAUUGACUUUGUGGGUCAUAAACACUGCAUAUGUUUGUCAUCAGAUCUUCAAUCUCCAUAUACCGAGUCGGCAAAUUUGUUGCGGGUUGUCGCCUGUCGGCUGCUCAAAUUUGACAACUGUUUCGUGAUUGAUUUUGACUGAUUAUCUUGCACGAUCUUCUCCUUUAAUUGGCAAGGAAAUCUGAUACUGAUCAAAAGAGAACACCACUUUUCAUUUUGCGCUGUUUUGGUCUUAAUCCACCGUGCCAAGAGCCAUAAGCGAAAUUAAACACUCUAGUCCCCAUCAUUACCAAAUUCUUUUCGGAGAAAAAGGAAAAAAAUUGCUUCAAGCUCCCAGACUAUUUCCAGCAGCAUGUAUCAACUGUAUAUCAUUGUCACUUAUAAAUGGUGUUCAUUACCAUUUUUUUUUUUAUUACUCCAUUUUUUUUUUUUCAUUUCUGUUUUUCUUAUUCGAGAAUAGUAAUUUAAGGCCUGCAAUCACAGCACGACCAAAACAGUACACGAGCGGCACUUGUCAAUUCACAUCUUUUAAAAGUACUGGGAGCAAAGACACUUGUCAGUUCAUGGCCACAAUAAAAAAAAAAAAGGAAAUUUGUCCCCGUAGGAUGACGUAGACCCUUCAUGAGCCUUUUGGGAGGUUAUCGUUGAGGUUUCUCAUUUUUAAUGUUUUCUGAAAUAAGGGCCCUAGUUUAUACACUCAUAUCUAAUACGUCCCUGUAUACUUAAUAAGCGGCUAAAUUCUUCUUAUAUUUUUGGGUUAGGGUGUGCAACUUAAUAACGGAAAAGGACUGCUAGCAACUGCCUCCCAUAACCAUAAGUGUGAUUCGCUCUCUCAGCUACCUGAUACGUAUCUUCCUUUUUUUGUUUGGUUAUUUGAGCAAAUUCAACAAAAUAAUAAAAAAAAUCCUACAAUUUGUUAUUUUAAUUUUUCAUUUCAAGUUUAUCGUUCACUUUAAUGGUUCGAUUAUAGUUAUCUAAUUAUUUAAAUCUUCUCAACCAGUUCAAGUGCCUUUGCGAGUAACUAUUGCUAGUACUUCUCAUAUAUUGAGUGUACGUUUUAUACAAUUUUUUUAAUAGUCAAAAGUUUUUUUUUUAUCACAAAAGUUCUUUUCUAUUUUUUUUUGUGCCAUUUGAUUAUAUUUUGAGAAUAUUUUUUAGGUAUUUAAUAAGUUAUUUUACCUCUAUUCCCAAAAACUUAAAUUUUAGACUUUUUUAAAAAUAAAGGUUAUAGAGUCUUUUUAAGAAGUUAAAUUAUGUAAAAUACUAUUAUUUCAUUUCAUUAUCUUAAUUCAAUUUUUUUUUAUAACAUAACUUCAAAAUACUUGUAUAUUAAAAUAAUUUUGUAAAUUUUAAUAAAAGUUUUUAUUAAUAACUAAACAAUUAAAAUUUUUAUGACAAUAGCUUCAAUUAUAGAAGCUCUAUUUGGAUAAAUUUUAUUUGAAAAGUUAUAGCAAACAAAAAAGUGUACUUGAAGUCAUCUCAAUAGAGUUGUGGGUCUAUUUGGCACAAAUAUAAAUAUUAUGCUUAUUAUUAUUAAAUACAAAACAAUGAGGGAUCUCUAUGAUAAAAACUCAUAAUAAAUUUGUAAUUGACGAGAAGACUUUCCACAUUCAUAAAUAAAUAGUAGCCGUUAGAGGUCCCGGGCAUGCAUAAAAGAACCGGCCCUACGACUUUAUUACAAAACUUUAAUAGUAAAUUAAUGAAACCGAAAUAAUUUAAUGUGCCAGCCAAAGCAAAUCCUGUUUCCAUGUUGGUCAUUUUAAAACUUCCACUCUGCUUUCACAAUCUUUUUUCAUUUUUUUAUUUUUCUAUUUUUCUUUCUUUUAUAAAGAGCCAAGAAUGAUAAUAAAAUCUAUUAAGAAUCUUACUUCACUUGAUUCAGAAAAGACGCAAAGUGUAACGUUUUUAAUGGGGUUCUGACUCAUUGUGUUUGUGUCUGAUCUGUCACGCUUCUAGACAGUUACAACUUACAAAAGGCCUCAACUCCUCAGUGAGUCCAAACGCUGCGGCUCUUUUUGCUUCUCAUUGGUGACAUUUUGUGGGGUUUGGACUUUGGAUUUUGAAGUUUAAGUGAAGUGAGUAGAUUCAGUUUAAAGAAGGUAUGUAAACGGAUCUUUGAAGUUUCUUGCCUUUAGUUUCUUUGUUCAUUUGAUGGGAAAUUCUGGGGAAAUAUAAGAAAAUUAUCAUACACUUGUUUCUUUUGUCGUUUCUUGUUCCUUGUUUUGUUCUUGAUGAAUACAAUACAGUCUUUUUUUUUUUUCCCCUUUUCUUCCAAUUUUUUUUUCAAAACUCAGUGAUUGGUUGGUUGCUGAGAAUAUGGAGGGAAAUUUAUUGUUUCCAAUUCAAUGAAAGGGAAUUGUAGUAGUAGCUUAGAUGAGUGGAAUUUCUAUUUUUCCUUUUGUUUGUUUGUUUGUUAUUUGCAUGUGUGCUUGUGUUUGUUUGUUUGUUAUUUGCAUGCCUGCUUGCCUCAAUUUGUGUUUUAAUCAAGGAUCCGGCAGAUUAUUUUAGUCAAUCAGACUGGCAUUGGUUAAAUUCUUUUUGUUUCAAUUGAUGUUUCUUUGUUAUAAGAACUGUUGAAAUCAAAUGCUUUGAUGUCGGUUUUGCUAUGGCUUCUAUAUUUGAUUUCAUAUUUUCUGUUUCAAUUCUACACCAGCAUAACAUGAUCUGCAGUUUCAAACUUUCAAUAAUGGGAUGUCUUCACCAGAAUAUCUUGAUUGCUUUUUUUUUUUUUUAAUUUUUUGUUUAAUUUUUUGUUUUUAUCUCUUUUCCUCAUUUUUUUUUUUUAAUUUUUUGUUUUUAUCUCUUUUCCUCAUUCACUUUUAGUGUCUUGACUAAGAUGAUUGGCUUGCUACGACUAAAGGUGUCAUCCCUUUGAAAAUGAUGUAUUAAAGUCAAAAGUAGCUUUUAUUUUGAAUCAUGUUUUUCAAAAUGCAAAUUAGGAGUUGCUUUCCGAUUUUCUUCAAAUGAAUGGUGUUUUUUGUUUGCCUGAAACUUGUUGUGUCCAAAUGAAUAGCCCAUAAUAUAUUCUUUUUAAGAAGUAAGCUGAUGUAUUUUAUGAAGGCUUAUUGUUAUUAUUUUUUUUACAGGAAUAAAUUUUUAUCUUUGAAACAGACAUAUGGCUACACUUGGUGAUAUAGGAGUUGCUGCGACUAUUAAUAUCCUCAGUGCAUUUGCUUUCCUUUCGGCAUUUGCCAUCCUUCGGAUUCAACCUAUAAAUGAUAGAGUCUACUUUCCCAAAUGGUAUCUGAAGGGUUUAAGAAGCAGCCCUUUGCAGACCGGUACACUUGUAAGUAAAUUUGUCAAUUUGGACUUUCGGUCAUAUCUGAGGUUUCUGAGUUGGAUGCCAGCAGCCCUGCAAAUGCCAGAGCCAGAGUUAAUUGACCAUGCAGGAUUGGAUUCUGCUGUUUACUUGAGGAUUUACUUGAUAGGGUAUGCUCUACUGCAUCGUUUCUUUUUAGCUCGUGAAAUUGGCUAUUUGAAAUGCAUGAUCUUUUCUGAUUUAUGUCAAGAGGAGAGUUGUUUUAAUAAAUAUAAAAGUACUUGUCGCAAUUUGAAAAAUUAAUGGAAAAUUGCUUAUAUGUUGUCCUAUGUCAUUCCCUGUCUAGGAAUUAGUUUUUCUACCCAAAGUACUAUUUGAAAUCGGAAUGAUAUAGUAUUUUGAAUGUCUCCCUUUUGCCUGAAUUUGCUUGAUUUAUCUUACUGGACUCACUGUACUUUUUUUGUUUUCUUGUUUAAGUGCAGGCUCAAAAUUUUUAUUCCGAUUGCCUGCCUUGGUUUUGCUGUCAUGGUACCAGUUAAUUGGACCAAUAAGACCUUAGAGCAUUCUAAAUUAAAAUACAGCAACAUAGACUUGCUCUCUAUAUCAAAUGUUCCACUUGGAUCAAAUAGGUAAGCUGAAGCAUCUGAUUUUAAGGUGUGUCAGUAUUAUUAUCUUCUCACACCAUCAUUGUUUAUCUUUUCUUCCUGAUGUUUACACUUUGACUAAAGAAAUUUUUACAAAUUUUGACAUAAGUGCUGGAUUAUUUACAAACACGAGAUUGAUUUUCUUAUUAUUAGAUGGUUUAGCUUUCAUCGGAGUUAAGAACCAUGAAGUUAGAUUCUGUUUUCAAAUUUUUAUGCAAAUCAACAUGACAGUCAAAAAGAUAUGGCUGGUGUUGCCACUAUUAAAUGAUUUUCUUUUAGCUUUCAACAGAGUCAACCAUUUUGAAGUAGAUAUUUUCAGAGCUUUAUUCAAGCCAACAUGACAGUUAGAAGAUGUCGUCGAUUCUGUCUGUGGAUUGACAAGUUUCACUACACAUUUUCAGAAUGUCUUCACUCCAAAGAUUUUGUAGCAAUCUUGGCUCUUGGGCCUUUUUAGGGAUUUUUUUUUUUUUAAGAGGUAGGGCUUCUACAGCUUUUGGUUUUAUGUGUGUUUCAGUAUAUCAGCAUUAUGUUUUAUAGGCAUUACAAACUUAGUUGAAAGGCAAAGGGACUACAGGCUUUGAAUGGUCAGAUGUAUGACCAUUGGGGGAUUUCAUUUUAUAAAUCAAUUAUAGAGCCUUGGCCUUAUUGAUUUUAUUAUUUUCAUAUGGGAUCAUAUGUGUAGCACUUUGAAGAUAGUUGUGGUGAGUUGUAUUUUGGAAUUUCUUUUUUCAGAAUCAUUAUUCUCCGGUGCAAAUAUUUCCACCAAUAUAAUAUUUAAAUGUUGGCAAAGUAAAAUUUAUUCUUAUCUUGUGCAAACUUUGGUCGCAGAUUUUGGACCCAUCUGGUAAUGGCAUAUGUGUUUACCUUCUGGACAUGUUAUGUGCUGAAGAGGGAGUAUGAGAUUGUGGCGGCAAUGAGGUUGCAUUUUCUUGCAUCAGAACAGAGGCGGCCAGAUCAAUUCACAGUAAGUUAAAAAGUUGAGGGAUAUCAAGAUUGGUAUAACUAGUUGACUGUAUUUUGUACUCUGUUAAGAUGUGGAGCCAUUAUGGGCAUUGGUGUUUCUUGUUUGUCACAAAUGCACUACCAGGAGACGCUCUUUGUAUAUGCACUCUUUUGCAUGCGUAAUUCACAAUUUUGAGUUCAUUUUAGAAUAUACAACGAGAGAGGUUUGUUCAUUUUCCUUUAGCUUUUUGCAGCAUAUUGUGAGGUUUAGGAAUGCUAAUAAAUUAUUAAUAUUAUUUCAAGUACUUUCAAGUUGACUUCUUUGAUCAAUCAGGGAGCUGUUCCUCUCUUUUCAAUUAUGAUUUCUGGAAUUUGCAUCAUUUGUUAUAGGUGCUGGUGAGAAAUGUGCCACCAGAUCCUGAUGAAUCAGUUACUCAGCUUGUGGAACAUUUUUUUCUCGUCAAUCAUCCAGAUCAUUAUCUCACUCAUCAGGUUUGUUACAUUAUCAUCAUGCAAAUAUUCUUUGCCUUAGUUGCCUGCACAAAAAUAUCUUAAUAGCAUCUCUAGAUGCUUAAGUUCUUUGCGCGUCCACGCACACUGAUGGACAUGGGAAAGAGAGAAAUUUGUAUAAGAUUGGUUAUAUGAUUAUAUCAAUUUAGUUGAAACUAAUAAGCUUAUACUACCUCUCAAAAAAAAAAAAAAAGCUUAUACUAGAUUCUGCUAUAAGCUAUGUUAUGCUGAUCCUUCAAAUAUUAGAUGUACAACGUGCAUGGUGAUAGAGUAAAUGAUUCUUGUGAGUAACUAAUAUGGAUUUGGCUCUAAGAAUAAGAUCACGAAUGAACAACUGCAGAUUAACCAGGUCUUAUGAAACAGUAUCAGCUGACAUUUCCUGAACUGGACAGGCCAUUCAUGUAAAGCCAAUUCAUUAUUUUGCAGGAUUCUUGAUAACCAUACCCCUUAUUGUAUGUUUGGCUUGAAGAAAUGGAAGAAGAAGAGAGGAGAGCAAAGGAGGGGAAAAAAAUGAGUGGAGAAAAGAAAAUUUUCAUGUCAAACCAAACCAAAAAAUCACCCUUUUCCCUCAUUUUCUCUCCUCUCUCUCCUCCUCUCCCCUUUCCAUUUCUCUCCUCUCAUCUCAUUUUUUUCAACCAAAUAUGGCUUUAAGUUCUUACACUGAUAAAUUAAAUAUAUUUUAUUUUCUUGGUUUCAUUGGGAUAUGAAGGUGGCAUGUGGAUUUGUGUUCUCUAUACAGAACUUCAAUAACUUGUUGAUGUUUAUUCUUUAAUUUUUAUUUUACAUGUUGGAAUAUGUGGGCAGGUUGUAAAUAAUGCUAACAAGCUCUCUGAAUUAGUCAAUAAGAAGAAGAAAAUGCAGAAUUGGCUGGACUUCUAUCAACUUAAAUAUUCAAGAAAUCCAGCCAGAAAGCCCUCUACGAAGGUACUGCACAGCAAUUGAUGAACUCUUAGUCUUUUUUUUUUUUUGGGGUAAUGCCACUCAGAAUCAGUAGUUUUGAGCAAGAAUCAGUAGUUUUGAGCAAGAUUACUAAAUUUUUUGAGGAUUAACUUUCUCAUUAAGCAGACUGGUUUUCUUGGCCUCUGGGGAAAAACAGUGGAUGCAAUUGACUUUUAUACUUCCAAGAUUGAGACGCUUAAAAAAGAGGUAAAUGGCUUUUCUUAAUCUUCUUUGACUUUGUUCUUUCAAUUUGUUGUUUUAAGGCAUUACAUUAUUCUUUCCUUGUUUCUAAAGCCUUCUAGCUGACCUAUACUGUUCCAGCCUGAUGGCCUAUUUGUCUACAAACAUUUAUUGUCAUUAUAUGUCCAAAGGUUUUUUCUUCUUCAACUUCUAGAAUUGGAAUCUUGAAGCCAUUCUCAAUUUACUAAUCACUGAGAAUUCCACUUUAGUCCUUAUUUGUCAAAGAUCUCCAUUUGAAGCUGAAGCAAUACAAUCCAUAUGUGUGUAAGCUGAGCAACUUUCUUAGGCCCCAUUUUUGUGAUUGAUGGUUCGUAAUUUUGAAUGAAGCAUAUGAUGGUCAAUUUUAUAUGUUGCUUAUGUGCUUAAUCAUAUGGUCUUAUAUGAAUUAUUUUCAGAUAAGCUUGGAGAGAGAUAAGGUAAUGAGCAGCGGCAAAUCUGUCAUUCCAGCAGCAUUUGUUUCCUUCAAAACUCGAUGGGGAGCUUCUGUUUGUGCACAAACUCAACAAACCAGAAAUCCGACUCUAUGGCUGACUGAUUGGGCUCCGGAGCCCCGUGAUGUAUAUUGGGAUAACCUGGCAAUUCCAUUUGUCUCACUCACAAUUAGGAGACUUAUUAUUUUUGUCGCAUAUUUCUUCCUGACCUUCUUUUUCAUGAUUCCCAUUGCAAUUGUGCAAUCCCUUGCAAAUAUUGAGGGCAUUGAGAAAGCCUUACCCUUCCUUAAACCGAUAAUUGAAGUGUAAGUUUCUUCUUCUUUCUUAAAAGCCUAUAAUUCAUUAUUUUCAUAUCCUCACACUAUUUUCAGAUCAAAGUAGUUUUGUUUUAUAAUAGGAAUAUUUAUACAAAUCUGUUUGGGAAACCAAUCAAUGUACCGUAAAAGUUUCUGCAGCCAAUUGUAGGACCAAAGGGCUCCUGAAAUUAAGCUUUCAUUCAGUUGAAAUAUUUUAAGAAUUUUUUAAAUUUAUCACUUCUUGAUUUGCUAGAAGUUUUAUUGAAGUAAAUUUUAAGUUUUACUGAAAAUAAAUUGAAGAGAAUAACUAAAAAAGGAUAAUAUUUUCUUUUAACUUUGGUUUUAAUGUGAUUUUUCUGCGCAAUCCUGGCUUGAGUUUUCUAAACAUAAAUUAUCACCUUUUUCAUGCAGGAAGGUCAUAAAGUCAUUCAUUCAAGGUUUCCUUCCGGGAAUCGCAUUGAAGAUUUUUCUUAUCUUUCUACCUGAUAUAUUGAUGCUAAUGUCUAAGUUUGAAGGAUUUAUUAGCCGAUCGGCUUUAGAGAGGAGAUCUGCAACUAGAUAUUAUAUUUUCCUAUUUAUUAAUGUAUUUCUUGGGAGCAUAAUCACUGGAACGGCAUUUCAGCAACUAGAUAAUUUCAUGCACCAGUCGGCAAAUGAGUAUGUCCUUUUCACACGUGCUAGACGUUUUACAAUGAUGAUUAAACAAUUAUAAGUUGCAAUGUUUUUUUUGGUUUUCCCACUCUAUUGUAGGUUUACAAGUUGAGAAAAAUCUACUUUUGCUUUUCUAAUCAUCUAUAAAUUACAAGUAACAGUUUGCAUUAGAUAUAUUCAAUAGCAUCAUAUCAUUAUAUCAUAGCAGGAUACUCCACGAUAUCUUAUUUGCGACGCAUUAAUUGAUCCAACACUCAUAUGGUGCAUUGUAUAUCUGUUGCUAAUGUUAAUUGACUACUCUCUGCAGCAUACCAAAGACAAUCGGUACCUCCAUUCCAAUGAAAGCAACAUUCUUCAUUACUUAUAUCAUGGUUGAUGGGUGGGCUGGAGUCGCUGGGGAGAUUCUGAGGUUGAAACCUUUGAUAAUCUAUCACUUGAAAAAUUUCUUCUUGGUGAAGACUGAAAAGGAUAGAGAAGAGGCAAUGGAUCCUGGAACCGUUGGUUUUAACACUGGAGAACCGCAAAUUCAACUUUAUUUCUUACUUGGCCUUGUUUAUGCUGUUGUGACCCCCUUCCUCCUCCCUUUCAUAAUAGUAUUCUUCGCACUGGCAUUUGUUGUCUACCGUCAUCAGGUAAAAUUUCAGGGUUCUUCCAAAAGAAAAUUUUAUGCUCCUUCAGGCUUCAGCCAAGUAAAAUAUUCUUGUAUGUUUGUAAUGUAGGAGCAGUAAGAAUACAAGCAAAUCAUAUGAAUAGAAGACAUAUGCGAUCAGUUUCAUUGCACACCAAAAAUAUAUGAUCGUUUAUUUACCCUAUACUGAUUAACACUUAUAUUGAAUCUGUAGAUUAUAAACGUCUACAACCAAGAGUAUGAGAGUGCCGCUGCAUUUUGGCCAGAUGUCCAUGGCCGCAUCAUUACAGCACUUGUAGUCUCACAGCUGCUGCUGAUGGGGUUAUUAAGCACAAAAGAAGCUGCUCAAUCAACCCCAUUGCUGAUCACGCUUCCUAUAUUGACAAUAUGGUUCCACAGGUUCUGCAAAGGACGUUACGAACCUGCAUUUGUCAGAUAUCCAUUACAGGUAGGUUUAGCACUGCAAUUGCCACGCACAUUGUUCCUAUAUGAUGUAAAAUGCUAUCAUGAAGUGAAUAAUAGCUUGAAUUUCUGGCAUUGCCCCUCUAGUUUUGUCUUUAAUUUAUUCUUUCUUGCUUUGAAAUUGCAAAUUACACAAUUUUCAACGAUUUUUUGUUGGGUUGCCAGGAAGCAAUGAUGAAAGAUACAUUGGAACGAGCAAGGGAACCAAAUUUGAACUUGAAAAGCUUCCUCCAAAUUGCUUAUAUCCAUCCAGUUUUCAAAGAGGUAGAGGAGUGUGAAAGUGAUCCAGCUUCUGAGGAAUCGGAUCAGGAACCAGUGCUCAUCCCAACAAAGCGUCAAUCUCGAAUGAACACGCCAUUGCCAAGCAAACAUAGCGGUUCAAUGACAUCCCUUGGGUAACAUUCUCCAAUAAUGUAGGAACUGUUAACUUGCCGUUUCAUUGUACAUUCCAAUUCCCAGGAGGUUAGAUAGGUUUAUUUCGGUUCGGAUAUACAUUGUAAAUGUGAUGAAGAGUAACGCUAACGCGAGGUCGAAUUAGUAAAAGAGAGAUGAAUCUGAUAUCCCACAUUUAGCCAAGAUAUUUUAAUUUCAUUUUAACUAGGGAUGGCAAUGAAUAGCAUCCAUUGCGACUAUGUCAUUACCAAAUCUGCCAGCAAUCUGCAGCAUAUUUAAAAAAAAAAAUCACUUGCUGGGAGUUUUAACAAUUACCAAAUCCACUUGUAACCUUGAGUGGAUUUUUUGAGAAUUUUCUCAUUUAAAAUUGUAAAAAUUAAAAAUAUUUUUUAAUUAUACAUAAAACUUAAAUUAUAUAAUUCAAACCAUAAAUUUUGGACAAUAUCUUUAAAAUCCCGCUUACAAUAUUUAAUUUUAGAUUUUAUCAAUAUAAAUAAGAAAUUAAAAUUUCAGCAUUAAAAUAAUUACAUAAAAUAUUUCUUUUAUAAGUAAAUCAUUAUCACUAAUAUGAAUUCUUUGCGCUCCACUUUUAAUUAGUAUAUAAGUAUUGUUAAUAAUAUUAACAAGUAAAUUUUGUACAACUACUAUUAACAAUAGAUUAAACAAUUAAAAUCUAACUUUUGUGAGCAAUCACUCAAGUCAUUAAAGCAAAAUAAACAAAAUAAAUCAAAUUAAAAUAAAAUAUCAAUAAUAUUAAACUUAAAAUUAUAAAAUUUCUACUUAAAGUAAUUAGGAACCUUAACUUAUAUAUAUUUAUGUGUAAAUUUUUUAAUGUAAUUUUAUAAUUUAAAUUUAAAAAUAUAAAUAAUUAAAAUAAAGAAUGUGGGAUGACCGGUAUCUAGUGAAUUUUUUUUUUAAUAUCAAGCUUACAUAUAACUUACAGUAUAUUUAAGUUUAAAAUACUAAAUUCAUCCGUAAACAAUAAAAAUACCCACAACAAAUAAGAUUUUACUGAUGAGUCUGAGUAAUUUUACCAUCCUUAGUUUUGCCUUAGUUUAAAGAGAAACCGGCAUGUUAGCAUCUGCAUAAUCGAAGUUUGAGGGCACAAUAAACAAUGAUAUGAAUGCUUCACCUAGAAGCAAUACAAAGAGUGAUCUCCAAGCAAAUCACAUGUCCAAGUCCAACGCCAACAAGUGCACAGAUGCAUGCACCAUGACCAGGCGCAGCUCUGUGUAUAAUAGAUGAAAAAGCAAGUUAAUUCAAUAAGUAACUGAGUGAUUUCAUGGCGUCAAUAAUUUAGAUAAUAAUAUUUGUGUCAUAAAAAAAAUAUUUAUUUGUUCCACAAAUCUGUGCUGGAUUAAAAAUUAUUCACUUUAACAAUGUUAUUCUCUUACACUCUAUUUGAUAUAACCUUUUAAAUAUAACCUACUUAAGUAGAGUUUUUAUCAUUAGAAUUUUUACUUAAAAAAUUUUAAUUAUUUGGUUAUUAAUUAAAAUUUUUAUUAAAAAUUAUAAAAUUAUUUAAUAACUAAAUUUUUUAAAGCUAUGUUAUAAAAGAAUGAAAUGAGAUUGUUAAAUAAGUGAAUGAUAUCUUAAAUAUUUUAACAUUUCAUAAAAAUAUUUCAACUUCUACUUUUAAAAAUUAAAUUUUGAGCUUUUCCUAUUAAAAGUAUAAUAACUUAUUUAAUCUAUUAAAAACAAUCAAAUGAGAAUAAAAAAUUUGAUAAAUAUGCUUGUGAGGUCAAAUUAAUUUUUUUUUUUUAUAACAAAGUGUAACUUUCAUAGAUAAAUUAAGAGAACAAGUACAUUAGGUGGGUUGGGCAAGUUUCCAACCAAAUAACAGGUUCCACAACUUUUAAAGCUAAACCAACUAAAGUAUGAGCAAUACUACUACAGCUUCUGGGGGCAUGUUGACAAAUGACAUGGUUCAGUCUUUUCAGCCUUCCAUGAACUUCUGAGAUAGUCCAAAAAAUCUCCACUUUGCUACUCUUCUUUUUUGUGAUUAAAUUCACCACUUUUUGGCAAUUUGAUUCAAUUAAUCAGUGGGAUGCAUGCUGCAUUUUCUGCAAUUUCCAGCCCCCAAUUUGCUACUUCAGCUUCUGCAGAUGCUAUACUGCCAUAAUAUCUAGACUUUUUCAUAGCAGCAGUUAUAAACUCUCCUUUGUCGUUUCUGAUGGCAAUUCCCAGUCCAACCAAUUGGUCUUUCGUCUUGAUUGCUGCAUCCACAUUCAUUCUAAACCAGCCUUCAGGAGGUGGUUUCCAACUUGGCUGAGUAGGGGCUGCCUAAUAAUGUGGAUUAUCUUGCCUUUGGGGGGAUUUGACUCUUCUAUACGAUUCCACAGUUGCUUCAGCUUUAGCUACUCAUAUCGGUCAAAUAAAAACUUAUUUGGUGUGAGGGCUGUUACUUACAGAAUCUGUAAGGUAGCCCUCUCCUAAAAAAGUGACACCGCUUAAUGAUUUAGAUAUUAAAUUAAUUAUUAUUAAAAUAGCCUAUGUCGGUAUUAGAAGUCAUUCAGUUAGGACUGGGUAAACAGGGGUGGAGACAAAGAAGUGCCGAGAUUCUGAUCUUACUACAGCCCAAAUUUGUCCCACAAAGUUGGCCCUCAUUGGUAGAAGAUGGGCCCACUUCGCACCAACUCGGUGUCUCCUUUGCUCUCUUUCUUUUCUCUUCCCUAUUGGGAACUCGUUGCGUCAUUCACACCAAUGCUAUAUGUACCAACAUCCACAAACUUAUCCUUGGAACUAAGGAUUACAACCUUUGAACCUGCAUCAUGAGAAGACCAUUCGUGUAGAUGAUGGGUUGGAAACAAGAGGGGAUGCCUAGAUACAUAAACACUAGUGUCUCCGAGUCAACCUUCACUUAAGCCCUUUUCUACCCAGAUACAAUUUUCUUACGAGUAUCAUCAUCAAUUGUAAACUUGUAAAACACAUACUUUCCUUCUUCAACCAUUCCAGAUUCCGACUUUCCAAAUAGAAGCGGCUUAAGCGUACACUGAUCUGUCCCCGCUGACAUGUCAUCUGGACUCACUAUAUUAACCUCAAUAUCUGUUUCCAGAACAGAUACGCUUGAAGAGGGUUUCAACUCAAGAACUUUUAACUUGUAUGCCAACUCCCUAUAAUUGACAGUGAGUACGUCAUCUUGAGAAAGGGUGGCAUGCUGGCGAAGGCUUGUUUCAAGAACAACCUUUUGAUUGGGUAAUUCUGCAAAACCAAUCUCCACAGGCUGAAGUUUUGCAUAAGCAAUCGAACAUAGCGAACUUCAACAAACGAAUUGUUUGGAGUAUCACUGGGGAAUUCAUCAGCAGUGAACUCCAAAACAUCUGAAUGAGUGCUCCUAUUACUUUCUUUCUCGCCAUCUACCAUAUUCGAUGGACCUUCUUGGUGACGCACUGAUAAGUUGAAAUGCAGAGGAACUUUAUCAAAUGCACCUUGACCAGACAAUUCAGUGAAACGGGACGGAGGCAAUUUGAUCUUAUCUCCGCUGCCCUGAAAAGGCAAUCUUAUCUUCCAACAAGUUGUUUUAAGUGAUUGAUUUUGACUGAUUAUCGUCUCUCACGAUCUUCUUGUGAAGAUAUGUGUAUAUGGACUUAAAUGAAGAAACUGGAAAAGUAGAGAGCUGUUGUGCAGAUUGACUUCAGUUGAUGGGGUCUAUUUGAUAUCUUCCGCUGACGUGGCAUGAAUUCGUUCUGUGCAUAAUCUUCUGUAAAUCACCUGUGAUUGGGUUAGUUCUUGAUCAAUAAUAAUGAGUAAAUUUUCCUUCUAAGUUUGCUGGUCUGUGUCUUUGUUUUGUUUCUGGUUUAGCUUCUUUGUUCUGGCUUUUCUUGAUUCGAUUGUGUUCUUGGUGUUUCUACUUACCAAGAUUCGUGAGUCUUGCUGUGGUUUAGACUUAAAAUCUUAACAAGUGGUAUCAGAGCCUGGUGAAUUUCAACCAUGUCUCUUCCAAAGCAUGAAAUCGAAAAAUUCACCAUUGGUGGUGAUUUCUCGCUUUGGAAGCUGAAAAUGAAAGCUCUCCUUAUGCAUCAAGGGCUUGAAUCUGCCCUGGACGAAGAAGAUCCAGAGGCCUCUACAGGUUCUGGGAUUGAUGACAAAAGGAGACAAAUACAUAAUCGAGCUCAUAGCACUCUGAUUUUGAGUCUUGGUGACUCAAUCUUGAGAGAGAUCUCUGAAGAGAAGACAGCCUUAGGAAUUUGGAACAAGGUUGAAACCCUGUGUAUGAAGAAAUCCCUGGCUCAUAGAUUGUUCUUGAAGAAAAGGUUGUACACAUUCUCAAUGAGAGAAGGGGUUACAAUACAAGAUCACAUUGACACUUUUAACAAGAUCAUUCUUGAUCUUGAAGGGGUGGAAAAUGUAAAAAUCUGUGAUGAAGACAAGGCAUUCUUCCUGCUGAGCUCUCUACCAAAGUCUUAUGAAGGCUUUGUAGAUACAAUGCUCUAUGGGAGGACCACUUUGACUCUUGAAGAUGUUAAAGCAUCCCUCAGCUCAAAGGAGAUUCAGAAGAACUGUGAGCUUGAAACAAGUAAUGGUGAGGGGCUGAUUGCAAGAACAGAAAAGAAGAAAGAUCAGAAGAACAAAAAUCAAGGAAAAGGGCAUGGAAAGAACCAAGAAACUGCAGACAAGAAGAAAAAGAAAAGAAAGUGCUUCUACUGCAGAAAGGAGGGGCAUUACAUAAGGGAUUGCUUUGAGAAGAAGAAGAAAGAAAGUCAAGAAAAGUCAGGAGAUGCAGCAGUAGCCUCUGAUGAUGGUUCUGAUGGAUAUCAAAGUGCUGAUUUACUUGUGGCCUUAAACAGCAAUAUAAAAGGUCAAUGGGUUUUUUUCAUUUAUGUCAUGAAAAAACUUUAUUUUACAAAUAUGAAGCUGUUGAUGGUGGUAGAGUCUUAAUGGGAAACAAUAAUGUGUGUAAUAUUGUUGGUAUUGGUUCUGUAAAGAUCAAGAUGUUUGAUGGAACUAUAAGAUCUCUACAUGAGGUGAGGCAUGCUCCUAGGCUAAAGAGAAAUUUAAUCUCUUUAGGCAUGCUAGACAACUUAAGGUACUGGUGGUUUAGAGAUAAGAAAGGGGACUAAGAUAGUAAUGAAGGGGGUUAAAGAGAAUGGCCUAUAUGUAUUGCAAGGCUCAUCAGUGCCUGUUCAAGAGGGAGUUUCUGCUGUUUCUGAGGAAGAUAGAACCAAGUUAUGGCACCUUAGGCUUGGUCAUAUGAGUAUCAAGGGGCUGCAAGAGCUUAGUAAACAAGGUCUACUUGUUGGGGAUAGAAUCCAGCAGCUGGAGUUUUGUGAAAACUGUAUUUUUGGCAAAUCACACAGGUCCAAGUUUAACAAAGGGGAGCAUAUGUCUAAACAAGUUUUGGACUAUGCACAUACUGACCUUUGGGGGCCUGCUCAGGUCCCUUCCUUGAGUGGUGGCAGAUAUUUCAUGUCACUUAUUGAUGAUUACUCAAGGAAGGUAUGGAUCUACAUACUCAAGACCAAAGAUCAAGCUUUGGAAAAAUUCAAGGUCUGGAAAUCAUUGGUAGAAAAUCAGUCUGGCUUCAAGCUGAAAUGCUUGAGGACUGAUAAUGGCUUGGAAUUUUGUAGCAAAGUAUUUGAGGAAUAUUGCCAAAAAUAUGGCAUAAAGAGGCACAAAACAGUGAGGUUCACCCCCCAGCAGAAUGGCUUGGCUGAGAGGAUGAACAGCACCUUGGUGGAUAAAACCAGAUGUAUGCUGAUAAAUUCAAAGCUUCCAAGGAGUUUUUGGGCAGAAGCUGUCAAUACAGCAAGUUAUUUAGUUAACAGAAGCCCAUCUUCUGCAAUUGGCUUCAAAACACCAGAAGAAUUGUGGAAUGGAAAACCAGCAAACUACCAAAAUCUCAGAGUUUUUGGGUGCCCUGCUUACCUCCACAUCAAUCAAGGCAAGCUGGAAGCAAGGGCCUUGAAAGGAGUCUUUGUUGGAUAUCCUGAUGGGGUUAAGGGGUACAAAAUCUGGUGUAAGGAUCAAGGGAAAUGCAUAGUCAGCAGGGAUGUUGUGUUUCAUGAAUCUGUAUUGCUGAAAGAAAGUGCAGAACAUGAUGCUGGACUGCAAGACAAUCCAGCAGCUAACAAACGAUCUGGAUCUGAAACUUCCAAGGUUAAGGUGGAGCUAUUGACUGAUAAAGGCAGUGAAAAAGAAGCAGCUUCUGAUGAUGAGAGGGCCACAGCUGAAAGUGAGGAACAUGAGGUAUCAGAAUUGCCACAAGCUGACUUACAAAACUAUCAGUUAGCUAGAGAUAGAGUUAGAAGGGAAGUCAGAGCACCAGUGAGGUAUGGCUAUGCUGACUUAAUUGCCUAUGCACUAUUGUGUGCUGAUGAAGUGACAAUUGAAGAGCCUGCUAACUUCUCUGAAGCCAUGGAAAGUGUGCACUGUGACAAGUGGCUUGAGGCAAUGCAAGAUGAAAUGGAGUCACUUCAAAGAAAUCAGACCCCCCAGCAGAAUGGCUUGGCUGAGAGGAUGAACAGGACCUUGGUGGAUAAAACCAGAUGUAUGCUGAUAAAUUCAAAGCUUCCAAUGAGCUUUUGGGCAGAAGCUGUCAAUACAGCAAGUUAUUUAGUUAACAGAAGCCCAUCUUCUGCAAUUGGCUAUAAAACACCAGAAGAAUUGUGGAAUGGAAAACCAGCAAACUACCAAAAUCUCAGAGUUUUUGGGUGCCCUGCUUACCUCCACAUCAAUCAAGGCAAGCUGGAAGCAAGGGCCUUGAAAGGAGUCUUUGUUGGAUAUCCUGAUGGGGUUAAGGGGUACAAAAUCUGGUGUAAGGAUCAAGGGAAAUGCAUAGUCAGCAGGGAUGUUGUGUUUCAUGAAUCUGUAUUGCUGAAAGAAAGUGCAGAACAUGAUGCUGGACUGCAAGACAAUCCAGCAGCUAACAAACGAUCUGGAUCUGAAACUUCCAAGGUUAAGGUGGAGCUAUUGACUGAUAAAGGCAGUGAAAAAGAAGCAGCUUCUGAUGAUGAGAGGGCCACAGCUGAAAGUGAGGAACAUGAGGUAUCAGAAUUGCCACAAGCUGACUUACAAAACUAUCAGUUAGCUAGAGAUAGAGUUAGAAGGGAAGUCAGAGCACCAGUGAGGUAUGGCUAUGCUGACUUAAUUGCCUAUGCACUAUUGUGUGCUGAUGAAGUGACAAUUGAAGAGCCUGCUAACUUCUCUGAAGCCAUGGAAAGUGUGCACUGUGACAAGUGGCUUGAGGCAAUGCAAGAUGAAAUGGAGUCACUUCAAAGAAAUCAGACUUGUACACUUAUACCAAAUCUAGGAAACAAGAGGUUGAUCAGCUGUAAGUGGAUUUUCAAGAGGAAGGAAGGAAUUCCAGAUGUUGAACCUCCCAAAUAUAAAGCAAGGCUAGUGGCUAGGGGUUUUACACAGAGGGAAGGUGUAGAUUUCAAUGAAAUUUUUUCUCCUGUAGUGAAGCACAGUUCAAUAAGAAUCUUAUUAGCCAUGGUAGCUUUACUUGACUUGGAGCUGGAGCAGAUGGAUGUAAAAACAGCCUUCCUUCAUGGUAAUCUUGAAGAACAAAUAUUGAUGGCACAGCCUGAAGGAUUUGAGUGUAAAGGAAAGGAGGAUUAUGUUUGUUUGCUGCAUAAGUCCUUGUAUGGACUCAAGCAAUCCCCUCGACAGUGGUACAGAAGGUUUGAUGAUUUUAUGGUCUCAAAGGGCUAUCACAGAAGCAGAUAUGACAGCUGUGUUUACUUUGGUGGAUCAGAUCAAGGUGGAGUUGCUUAUUUGCUUCUGUAUGUUGACGAUAUGUUAAUUGCAAGCAAAUACAAGUCAGAGAUAGAGAGGUUAAAGAAUCUGUUAAAGGGGUAUCAGAAUUGCCACAAACUGACUUACAGAGCUAUCAGUUAGCUAGAGAUAGAGUUAGAAGGGAAGUCAGAGCACUGCUGUACGGCCAAGGCGGAUGUACGGUACAGCAGGGAUAAAUUUAUCUUUUUACCUCAUUUUGAGUUUGUGCACUGUGACAAGUGGCUUGAGGCAAUGCAAGAUGAAAUGGAGUCACUUCAAAGAAAUCAGACUUGUACACUUAUACCAAAUCUAGGAAACAAGAGGUUGAUCAGCUGUAAGUGGAUUUUCAAGAGGAAGGAAGGAAUUCCAGAUGUUGAACCUCCCAAAUAUAAAGCAAGGCUAGUGGCUAGGGGGUUUACACAAAGGGAAGGUGUAGAUUUCAAUGAAAUUUUUUCUCCUGUAGUGAAGCACAGUUCAAUAAGAAUCUUAUUAGCCAUGGUAGCUUUACUUGACUUGGAGCUGGAGCAGAUGGAUGUAAAAACAGCCUUCCUUCAUGGUAAUCUUGAAGAACAAAUAUUGAUGGCACAGCCUGAAGGAUUUGAGUGUAAAGGAAAGGAGGAUUAUGUUUGUUUGCUGCAUAAGUCCUUGUAUGGACUCAAGCAAUCCCCUCGACAGUGGUACAGAAGGUUUGAUGAUUUUAUGGUCUCAAAGGGCUAUCACAGAAGCAGAUAUGACAGCUGUGUUUACUUUGGUGGAUCAGAUCAAGGUGGAGUUGCUUAUUUGCUUCUGUAUGUUGACGAUAUGUUAAUUGCAAGCAAAUACAAGUCAGAGAUAGAGAGGUUAAAGAAUCUGUUAAAGGUUGAGUUUGAAAUGAAGGAUCUUGGCAAUGCCAAAAGAAUCAUUGGGAUGGACAUUAUCAGAGAUAGAUCUGCUGGCACUUUAUUCUUGAGUCAAGAGAAAUAUAUCAAGAAAGUUCUGGAGAGGUUUAAGAUGCAAGACUGUAAACCUGUUCAGACUCCACUUGGUCCUUAUUGUGCUCACAUAAUUAGUCAGAUAGCGAGGAACAAUUCCUGAUUCUAUCCAUCAUAUUUCCUUGUUGAACAACUCGCACCAAUAGGCCUACAUUAAUAACAAAAAUUGACUCAUCAGUGACUAUAAACGAUAAACAAUUGCACUCAUAAAACCAUUAAUUCUCACCAUUUGUAAUACAAAAGGUCCAAAUGUUUGUUGAUUUACUGAGGAUAAUAGGAAGUAUAAUCUAUCUUCAUUCACCAAUCAUCACAUGCAAAUAGGUCAAGGCCAACAAUGAAGGAAAUAAAUCAGCAUUGGCAAGCGCAAGAGCUCGUGCACGAGUGUGAAAAAUAGGGAAAAAGAGACGAACAAGUUGAGUUUAAUAAGUAGUAAUGAGUCUAAAAGGAAAUGUGCAUUAUUGCAGUAGCAUCAACUAUUGGAAACUAUGGUAGUGGCUAUGGACAACAAUGGCGUCCAUUCUAGAUUGCAUACAUGGAACAAGACAACAUAUGAUAAAAAAUUGUGAAGAUAUGUGUAUAUGGACUUAAAUGAAGAAACUGGAAAAGUAGAGAGCUGUUGUGCAGAUUGACUUCAGUUGAUGGGGUCUAUUUGAUAUCUUCCGCUGACGUGGCAUGAAUUCGUUAUAAUCUGUUAUAACGAAGCCCAGCACACUGAUAUAAAACAGAGGCUGACGAAUGGUGCCUGAUACAGUGCUAAUAUCGUCUUCAUUUGUUCAUCAUUUUGCAUAGAAUCUGUUUCAUUGUGAUCUGUGCAUAAUCUUCUGUAAAUCACCUGUGAUUGAGUUAGUUCUUGAUCAAUAAUAAUGAGUAAAUUUUCCUUCUAAGUUUGCUGGUCUGUGUCUUUGUUUUGUUUCUGGUUUAGCUUCUUUGUUCUGGCUUUUCUUGAUUCGAUUGUGUUCUUGGUGUUUCUACUCACCAAGAUUCGUGAGUCUUGCUGUGGUUUAGGCUUAAAAUCUUAACACUUCUCCUUUAAUUAGCAAGGAAAUUCACUGAUACUGAUAAAAAGAGAGUAUCACUUGUCAUUUUGCACUGUUUUGGCCUUAAUCCAAUGUGCCAAGAACCAUAAGCAAAAUUAAACACCCUCACCAAAUUCUUUCUUUUUGAGUGGUAAGAAGAAACGUUCAGUUCACAAUCUGAGUAUCUGAAUUCCUCGCGUUGUCUUUUUGACGUGUUUAUCUUAUCCGAGAAUGGUAAUUUAAAGCCUAUAAUCACGGCAUGACCAAAACAGUGCCCGAGCGGCAUUUGUCAAUGCACAUCUUCUAAAAUACUGGGAGCAAAAGACACUUGUCCGUUACAUGGCCGCAAAAAACAAGGAAAUUUGUCCCCUCAGGAUAACGUAGACCCUCGUUGGCCCUUUGGGAGGAUAUCGUUGAGGUUUCUCAUUUUUAAUGUUUUCUGAAAUAAGGACCCUAGUUUAUACACUCAUAUCUAAUAUGUCCCUGUAUACUUAAUAAGCGGCUAAAUUAUUCUUAUAUUUUAGGGUUAGGGUUUGCAACUUAAUAACGGAAAGGUCUGCUAGCAACAAUCUCCCAUAAGAGUGAUUCGCUCUCUCAGCUACGCGACACGUAUUUUCCUUUUUUUUGUUUGGUUAUUUGAGCAAAUUCAACAAAAUAAAAAAAAAUCCUACGAUUUGCUAUUUUAAAUUUUCAUUCCAAGCUUUCUGUUCAUUUUAAUGGUUCGAUUAUAAUUAUAUAAUUAUUUAAAUCUUCUCAACCAGUUCAAGCGUCGUGUAGUUGAGGUAGCGAUUGUAACAAUCGCUUUUUGUGAGUAACUAUUACUAGUACUUCUCAUGUACUAAGUGUAUGUUUUGUAUAAUUUUUCUAAUAGUUAAAAGUAUUUUUUUUAUCACAAAAGUUUUUUUUAUAAAAUUUUUUGUGUUAUUUGGUUAUAUUUUGAGUAGAGUUUUUAGAUAUUUAAUAAGUUGUUACCUCUAUUCUAAAAAACUUAAAUUCUAGACUUUUGAGAAUAGAGGUUAUAAAUUUUUUUUAAAAAAGCUAAACUAUGUAAAAUACUAUUAUUUUGUUUCAUUAUCUUAUUUCAAUUUUUUUAUAACAUCAAAAUAAUUGUAUGUUAAAAUAAUUUUGUAAAUUUUAAUAAAAAUUUUCAUUAAUAACUAAACAAUUAAAAUUUUUAUGAAAAUAACUUUAAUUGUAAAAGUUCUAUUUGGAUAAAUUUAAUUUGAAAAAUUAUAGCAAAUAAAAAAGUAUACUCGGAGUCAUCUUAAUAGAGUUGUGGGCCUAUUUGGUAUAUAUAUAUAUAUAUUAUGCUUAUUAAUAUUAAAUACAAAACAAUGAGGGAUCUCUAUGAUAAAAACUCAUAAUAAAUUUGUGAUUGAUGAGAAGACUUUACACAUUCAUAAAUAAAUAGUAGCCGCUAGAGAUCCCGGGCAUGCACAAACCUUUGCUAGUAAAAUAAUGAAAACCGAAAUAAUUUUAAUGUACCAGCCAAAGCAAAUCAUGUUUCCAUGUUGGUAAUAUUAACAGUUCCACUUUACUUUGCUUUCCCAAUCUUUUUCCAUUUUUUUUUUUCUUUCUUUUAUAAAGAGCCAAGAAUAAUAAUAAAAUCUAUUAUGAAGAGUGCAGCCUUUUUUAAUGGGGCUUUGACUCAUUGUGUUUGUGUCUGAUCUGUCACGCUUCUAGACAGUUACAACUGCAAAAGGCCUCGACUCCUCUGUGGGUCCACACGCUGCGGCAUUUUGCUUCUCAUUGGUGGCAUUUUUGUGGGGUUUGGACUUUGGAUUGUGAAGAUUAAGUGCGGUUAGAAGAUUCAGUUUAAAGAAGGUAUGUGAACGGGUCUUUGAAGUUUUUUGCUUUUUGUUUCUUUGUUUGGAUGAUGGAAAAUUGUGGGAAAAUAUUAGUAAAUUAUCAUACACUUGUUUCUUUUGUCGUUUCGUGUUUCUUGUUCUGUUCUUGAUGAAUAAAAGACAGUCUUUUUUUUUUUCCCUGUUCUUCCAAAAAAUUUUCUUUUUUCUUUUUGCAAAACUCAGUGAUUUUUUUUUUCACAGGAAUCAAUUUUUAUCUUUGAAAACGGACAUAUGGCUACACUUGGUGAUAUAGGAGUUGCUGCGACUAUUAAUAUCCUCAGUGCAUUUGCUUUCCUUUCGGCAUUUGCCAUCCUUCGGAUUCAACCUAUAAAUGAUAGAGUCUACUUUCCCAAAUGGUAUCUGAAGGGUUUAAGAAGCAGAUCUUUGCACACCGGUGCAUUUGUAAGCAAAUUUGUCAAUUUCGACUUUCAGUCCUAUCUGAGGUUUCUGAGUUGGAUGCCAGCGGCCCUGCAAAUGCCAGAGCCAGAGUUAAUUGAACAUGGGGGAUUGGAUUCUGCUGUUUACUUGAGGAUUUACUUGAUAGGGUAUGCUCUACUGCAUCGUUUCUUUUUAGCUCGUGAAAUUGGCUAUUUGAAAUGCACGAUCUUUUCUGAUUUAUGUCAAGAGGAGAGUUGUUUUAAUAAAUAUAAAAGUACUUGUCGCAAUUUGAAAAAUUAAUGGAAAAUUGCUUAUAUGUUGUCCUAUGUCAUUCCCUGUUUAGGAAUUAGUUUUUCUACCCGAAGUACUAUUUGGAAUCGGAAUGAUAUAGUAUUUUGAAUGUCUCCCUUUUGCCUGAAUUUGCUUGAUUUAUCUUACUGGACUCACUGUACUUUUUUUUGUUUUCUUGUUUUAGUGCAGGCUCAAAAUUUUCAUUCUGAUUGCCUGCCUUGCUUUUGCUGUCAUAGUACCAGUUAAUUGGACCAAUAAGACCUUAGAGCAUUCUAAAUUAAAAUACAGCAAUAUAGACUUGCUCUCUAUAUCAAAUGUUCCACUUGGAUCAAAUAGGUAAGCUGAAGCAUCUGAUUUUAAGGUCUGUUGUAUUUUUAUCUUUUCUCACACCAUCAGUGUUUAUCUUUUCUUCCUGAUGUUUACACAUUGAGUAACAAAUUUUUACAACUUUUGACAUAAGUGCUAGCUUAUUUACAAACAUGAGAUUCAUUCUCUUAUUAUUAAAUGGUUCUCUUUUAGCUUUCACUGGAGUUAAGAAUCAUGAAGUUAGGUUCUGUUUUCAAAUUUUUAUGCAAAUCAAGAUGACAGUCAAAAAGAUAUGGCUGACGUCGCCACUAUUGAAUGAUUUUCUUUUAGCUUCCACCGGAGUUAACCAUUUUGAAGUAGAUAUUUUCAGAGUUUUAUUCAAGCCAACGUGACAGUUAGAAAAUGUGGUUGAUUCUGUCUGUGGAUUGACAAAUUUCGCUACACAUUUUCAGAAUGUCUUCAUUCCAAAGAUUUUGUAGCAAUCUUGGCUCCUGGGCCUUUUUAAGAUUUUUUUUUUUUCAGAGGUAGGGCUUUUACAUCUUUUGGUUUUAUGUAUAUUUCAGUAUAUCUGCAUUAUGUUUUAUAGGCAUUACAAACUUAGUGUAAAGGCAAAGGCACUACAGGCGCUGAAUGGUCAGAUGUAUGACCGUUGGGGGAUUUCAUUUUAUAAUUCAAUUAUAGAGGCUUAGCCUUAAUGAUUUUAUUAUUUUCAUAUGGGAUCAUAUGUAUAGCACUUUGAAGAUAGUUGUGGUGAGUCGUAUUUUGGAAUUUCUGUUUUCAGAAUCAUUAUUCUCCAGUGCAAAUAUUUCCAUCAAUAUAAUAUUUAAAUGUUGGCAAAGUAAAUUUAUUCUUACCUUGUGCAUACUUUGGUCGUAGAUUUUGGAUCCAUCUGGGAAUGGCUUAUGCGUUUACCUUCUGGACAUGCUAUGUGCUGAAGAGGGAGUAUGAGAUUGUGGCAGCAAUGAGGUUGCAUUUUCUUGCAUCAGAACACAGGCAGCCAGAUCAAUUCACAGUAAGUUAAAAUGUUGAGGGAUAUCAAAAUUGGUAUAACUAGUUGGCCCUGUUUUGUAUUCGGUUAAGAUGCAGAGCCACUGUGGGCAUUGGUGUUUCUUGUUUCUCACAAAUGCACUAGCAAGAGACGCUGUUUGUAUAUGCACUCUUUUGCAUGCGUAAUUCACAAUUUUGGGUUCUUUUUAGAAUAUACAACCACAGAGGUCUGUUCAUUUUCUUUUAGCUUUUUUGCAGCAUAUUGUGAGGUUUAGGAAUACUAAUAAGUUAUUAAUAGUAUUUCAAAUACUUUCAAGUUGACUUCUUUGACCAAUCGGGGAGCUGUUCCUUUCUUUUCAAUCAUGAUUUCUGGAACUUGCAUAUUUUGUUAUAGGUGCUGAUGAGAAAUGUCCCACCAGAUCCUGAUGAAUCAGUUACCCAGCUUGUGGAACAUUUUUUUCUCGUCAAUCAUCCAGAUCAUUAUCUCACUCAUCAGGUUUGUUAUAUUAUCAUUAUGCAAAUAUUCUUGCCUUAGCUGCCUACACAAAAAUAUCUUAUUCUUAUUACUAUCUCUGGAUGCUUAAGCCCUAUGCGCGUCCACGCACACAGACGGAUAAGGGAAAGAGAGAAAUUUUUAUAAGAUUGGUUAUUAGAUUAUUUCAAUUUAAUUGAAACUAAUAAGCUUAUACUAGACUACACUAUAAUCUAUGUUAUGCUGAUCCUUCAAAUAUUAGAUGUGCAUCACGCAUGGUAAAUGAUUCUUGUGAGUAGCUAGUAUAGAUUUGGCUCUAAGAAUAAGGCUACGAAUGAACAACUGCAGAUUAACCAUGUCUUGUUAAACAGUAUCAGCUGACAUUUCCUGAACCAGACAGGCCAUUCAUGUAAAGCCAAUUCAUAAUUUUGCGGAAUUCUUGAUGACCAUACCCCUUAUGGUAUGUUUGGUUCGAAGAAAUGGAAGGAGUAGAGAGGAAAGGAGGGGAAAGAAAUGAGGGGAGGAAAGAAGAAGUUCAUGUCAAACCAAACAAAAAAAAUAAUCUUUUUCCCUCAUUUUCUCUCCUCCUCUUCCCUUUCCUUUCAAUUCCUCUUCUCUGGUUUCAUUUCUUCCAACCAAACAUGGCCUUAAGUUCUUACAUUGAUAAAUUAAAUAUAUUUUAUUUUCUUGGUUUCGUUGGGAUAUGAAGGUGGUAUGUGGAUUUGUGUUCUCUAUACAGAACUUCAAUAGUUUGCCGAUGUUUCUUCUUUAAUUUUUAUUUUACAUGUUGGAAUAUGUGGCCAGGUUGUUUCUAAUGCUAACAAGCCCUCUGAAUUAGUUAAUAAGAAGAAGAAAAUGCAGAAUUGGCUGGACUUCUAUGAGCUUAAAUAUUCAAGAAAUCCAUCCCAAAAACCCUCUAUGAAGGUACCGCACAGCAAUUGAUGAACUAUUGGUCUUUCCUUUUUUCUUUCUUUUUUUUUUUUUCUUGGGGUUAUAUCGCUUGGAAUUAGUAGUUUUGAGCAAGAUUACUAAAUUUUUUGAGGAUAUCUUUCUCAUUAAGCAGACUGGUUUUCUUGGCCUCUGGGGAGAAACAGUGGAUCCAAUUGAUUUUUAUACUUCCAAGAUUGAGACGCUUAAAAAAGAGGCAAGUAGGUUUUCUUAAUCUUCUUUGACUUUGUUGUUUCAAUUUGUUGUUUUAAUGCAUUAUUCUUCCCUUGUUUCUAAAGCCUCCUAGAUUACCCAUACUGGUCCAAGCUGAUGGCCUAUUUGUAUACAAACAUUUAUUGUCAUUAUAUGUCCAAAGCUUUUUUCUUCUUCAACUUCUAGAAAUGGAAUCUUGAAGCCUUUCUUAAUUUACUAAUCACUGAGAAUUCCACUUUAGUCCUUAUUUGUCAAAGAUCUCCAUUUGAAGCUGAAGCAAUACAAUCCAUAUGUGUGUAAGCUGAACAACUUUCUUCGGCCCCAUUUUUGUGAUUGAUGUUUCGUAGAUUUGAAUCUAGCAUAUGAUGGUCAAUUUUAAAUGUUACUUGUGUGCUUAAUCACAUGGUCUUAUAUGAAUUCUUUUCAGAUAAGCUUGGAGAGAGAUAAGGUAAUGUGAAGCAGCAAAUCUGUCAUUCCAGCAGCAUUUGUUUCCUUCAAAACUCGAUGGGGAGCUGCUGUUUGUGCGCAAACUCAACAAACCAGAAAUCCGACUCUAUGGCUGACUGAUUGGGCUCCGGAGCCCCGUGAUGUAUAUUGGGAUAACCUGGCAAUUCCAUUUGUCUCACUCACAAUUAGGAGACUUAUUAUUUUUGUCGCAUAUUUCUUCCUGACCUUCUUUUUCAUGAUUCCCAUUGCAAUUGUGCAAUCCCUUGCAAAUAUUGAGGGCAUUGAGAAAGCCUUACCCUUCCUUAAACCGAUAAUUGAAGUGUAAGUUUCUUCUUCUUUCUUAAAAGCCUAUAAUUCAUUAUUUUCAUAUCCUCACACUAUUUUCAGAUCAAAGUAGUUUUGUUUUAUAAUAGGAAUAUUUAUACAAAUCUGUUUGGGAAACCAAUCAAUGUACCGUAAAAGUUUCUGCAGCCAAUUGUAGGACCAAAGGGCUCCUGAAAUUAAGCUUUCAUUCAGUUGAAAUAUUUUAAGAAUUUUUUAAAUUUAUCACUUCUUGAUUUGCUAGAAGUUUUAUUGAAGUAAAUUUUAAGUUUUACUGAAAAUAAAUUGAAGAGAAUAACUAAAAAAGGAUAAUAUUUUCUUUUAACUUUGGUUUUAAUGUGAUUUUUCUGCGCAAUCCUGGCUUGAGUUUUCUAAACAUAAAUUAUCACCUUUUUCAUGCAGGAAGGUCAUAAAGUCAUUCAUUCAAGGUUUCCUUCCGGGAAUCGCAUUGAAGAUUUUUCUUAUCUUUCUACCUGAUAUAUUGAUGCUAAUGUCUAAGUUUGAAGGAUUUAUUAGCCGAUCGGCUUUAGAGAGGAGAUCUGCAACUAGAUAUUAUAUUUUCCUAUUUAUUAAUGUAUUUCUUGGGAGCAUAAUCACUGGAACGGCAUUUCAGCAACUAGAUAAUUUCAUGCACCAGUCGGCAAAUGAGUAUGUCCUUUUCACACGUGCUAGACGUUUUACAAUGAUGAUUAAACAAUUAUAAGUUGCAAUGUUUUUUUUGGUUUUCCCACUCUAUUGUAGGUUUACAAGUUGAGAAAAAUCUACUUUUGCUUUUCUAAUCAUCUAUAAAUUACAAGUAACAGUUUGCAUUAGAUAUAUUCAAUAGCAUCAUAUCAUUAUAUCAUAGCAGGAUACUCCACGAUAUCUUAUUUGCGACGCAUUAAUUGAUCCAACACUCAUAUGGUGCAUUGUAUAUCUGUUGCUAAUGUUAAUUGACUACUCUCUGCAGCAUACCAAAGACAAUCGGUACCUCCAUUCCAAUGAAAGCAACAUUCUUCAUUACUUAUAUCAUGGUUGAUGGGUGGGCUGGAGUCGCUGGGGAGAUUCUGAGGUUGAAACCUUUGAUAAUCUAUCACUUGAAAAAUUUCUUCUUGGUGAAGACUGAAAAGGAUAGAGAAGAGGCAAUGGAUCCUGGAACCGUUGGUUUUAACACUGGAGAACCGCAAAUUCAACUUUAUUUCUUACUUGGCCUUGUUUAUGCUGUUGUGACCCCCUUCCUCCUCCCUUUCAUAAUAGUAUUCUUCGCACUGGCAUUUGUUGUCUACCGUCAUCAGGUAAAAUUUCAGGGUUCUUCCAAAAGAAAAUUUUAUGCUCCUUCAGGCUUCAGCCAAGUAAAAUAUUCUUGUAUGUUUGUAAUGUAGGAGCAGUAAGAAUACAAGCAAAUCAUAUGAAUAGAAGACAUAUGCGAUCAGUUUCAUUGCACACCAAAAAUAUAUGAUCGUUUAUUUACCCUAUACUGAUUAACACUUAUAUUGAAUCUGUAGAUUAUAAACGUCUACAACCAAGAGUAUGAGAGUGCCGCUGCAUUUUGGCCAGAUGUCCAUGGCCGCAUCAUUACAGCACUUGUAGUCUCACAGCUGCUGCUGAUGGGGUUAUUAAGCACAAAAGAAGCUGCUCAAUCAACCCCAUUGCUGAUCACGCUUCCUAUAUUGACAAUAUGGUUCCACAGGUUCUGCAAAGGACGUUACGAACCUGCAUUUGUCAGAUAUCCAUUACAGGUAGGUUUAGCACUGCAAUUGCCACGCACAUUGUUCCUAUAUGAUGUAAAAUGCUAUCAUGAAGUGAAUAAUAGCUUGAAUUUCUGGCAUUGGCCCUCUAGUUUUGUCUUUAAUUAAUUCUUUCUUGUUUUGAAAUUGCAAAUUACACAAUUUUCAACAAUUUUUUGUUGGGUUGCCAGGAAGCAAUGAUGAAAGAUACAUUGGAACGAGCAAGGGAACCAAAUUUGAACUUGAAAAGCUUCCUCCAAAUUGCUUAUAUCCAUCCAGUUUUCAAAGAGGUAGAGGAGUGUGAAAGUGAUCCAGCUUCUGAGGAAUCGGAUCAGGAACCAGUGCUCAUCCCAACAAAGCGUCAAUCUCGAAUGAACACGCCAUUGCCAAGCAAACAUAGCGGUUCAAUGACAUCCCUUGGGUAACAUUCUCCAAUAAUGUAGGAACUGUUAACUUGCCGUUUCAUUGUACAUGCCAGUUCCCAGGAGGUUAGAUAGGUUUCUUUCGGUUCGGAUAUACAUUGUAAAUGUGAUGAAGAGUAACGCUAACGCGAGGUCGAAUUAGUAAAAGAGAGAUGAAUCUGAUAUCCCACAUUUAGCCAAGAUAUUUUAAUUUCAUUUUAACUAGGGAUGGCAAUGAAUAGCAUCCAUUGCGACUAUGUCAUUACCAAAUCUGCCAGCAAUCUGCAGCAUAUUUAAAAAAAAAAAUCACUUGCUGGGAGUUUUAACAAUUACCAAAUCCACUUGUAACCUUGAGUGGAUUUUUUGAGAAUUUUCUCAUUUAAAAUUGUAAAAAUUAAAAAUAUUUUUUAAUUAUACAUAAAACUUAAAUUAUAUAAUUCAAACCAUAAAUUUUGGACAAUAUCUUUAAAAUCCCGCUUACAAUAUUUAAUUUUAGAUUUUAUCAAUCUGCUGUACCGUACAUCCGCCUUGGCCGUACAGCAGGUGUUCAUUACCAUUUUUUUUUUUUAUUACUCCAUUUUUUUUUUUUCAUUUCUGUUUUUCUUAUUCGAGAAUAGUAAUUUAAGGCCUGCAAUCACAGCACGACCAAAACAGUACACGAGCGGCACUUGUCAAUUCACAUCUUUUAAAAGUACUGGGAGCAAAGACACUUGUCAGUUCAUGGCCACAAUAAAAAAAAAAAAGGAAAUUUGUCCCCGUAGGAUGACGUAGACCCUUCAUGAGCCUUUUGGGAGGUUAUCGUUGAGGUUUCUCAUUUUUAAUGUUUUCUGAAAUAAGGGCCCUAGUUUAUACACUCAUAUCUAAUACGUCCCUGUAUACUUAAUAAGCGGCUAAAUUCUUCUUAUAUUUUUGGGUUAGGGUGUGCAACUUAAUAACGGAAAAGGACUGCUAGCAACUGCCUCCCAUAACCAUAAGUGUGAUUCGCUCUCUCAGCUACCUGAUACGUAUCUUCCUUUUUUUGUUUGGUUAUUUGAGCAAAUUCAACAAAAUAAUAAAAAAAAUCCUACAAUUUGUUAUUUUAAUUUUUCAUUUCAAGUUUAUCGUUCACUUUAAUGGUUCGAUUAUAGUUAUCUAAUUAUUUAAAUCUUCUCAACCAGUUCAAGUGCCUUUGCGAGUAACUAUUGCUAGUACUUCUCAUAUAUUGAGUGUACGUUUUAUACAAUUUUUUUAAUAGUCAAAAGUUUUUUUUUUAUCACAAAAGUUCUUUUCUAUUUUUUUUUGUGCCAUUUGAUUAUAUUUUGAGAAUAUUUUUUAGGUAUUUAAUAAGUUAUUUUACCUCUAUUCCCAAAAACUUAAAUUUUAGACUUUUUUAAAAAUAAAGGUUAUAGAGUCUUUUUAAGAAGUUAAAUUAUGUAAAAUACUAUUAUUUCAUUUCAUUAUCUUAAUUCAAUUUUUUUUUAUAACAUAACUUCAAAAUACUUGUAUAUUAAAAUAAUUUUGUAAAUUUUAAUAAAAGUUUUUAUUAAUAACUAAACAAUUAAAAUUUUUAUGACAAUAGCUUCAAUUAUAGAAGCUCUAUUUGGAUAAAUUUUAUUUGAAAAGUUAUAGCAAACAAAAAAGUGUACUUGAAGUCAUCUCAAUAGAGUUGUGGGUCUAUUUGGCACAAAUAUAAAUAUUAUGCUUAUUAUUAUUAAAUACAAAACAAUGAGGGAUCUCUAUGAUAAAAACUCAUAAUAAAUUUGUAAUUGACGAGAAGACUUUCCACAUUCAUAAAUAAAUAGUAGCCGUUAGAGGUCCCGGGCAUGCAUAAAAGAACCGGCCCUACGACUUUAUUACAAAACUUUAAUAGUAAAUUAAUGAAACCGAAAUAAUUUAAUGUGCCAGCCAAAGCAAAUCCUGUUUCCAUGUUGGUCAUUUUAAAACUUCCACUCUGCUUUCACAAUCUUUUUUCAUUUUUUUAUUUUUCUAUUUUUCUUUCUUUUAUAAAGAGCCAAGAAUGAUAAUAAAAUCUAUUAAGAAUCUUACUUCACUUGAUUCAGAAAAGACGCAAAGUGUAACGUUUUUAAUGGGGUUCUGACUCAUUGUGUUUGUGUCUGAUCUGUCACGCUUCUAGACAGUUACAACUUACAAAAGGCCUCAACUCCUCAGUGAGUCCAAACGCUGCGGCUCUUUUUGCUUCUCAUUGGUGACAUUUUGUGGGGUUUGGACUUUGGAUUUUGAAGUUUAAGUGAAGUGAGUAGAUUCAGUUUAAAGAAGGUAUGUAAACGGAUCUUUGAAGUUUCUUGCUGCUGUACGGCCAAGGCGGAUGUACGGUACAGCAGAUAUCAUACUUUGGAGUCGAUUUUGUAAAAUUUAAUUUUUUACAAACAUUCAACAUACAUGUAAAAAGUUUAGUUGAUGAAACCAAUUGUUUUUUAUACAAGAGUUUUGAAAUUCGAACCUUAAGUACAUGAGUGGGGAGAAAAUUUAAUUUAUUAAAGAAAAUUCAUGAUCAAUUGAGCUACACAGACUUUUUUUCUUAUCUCUAUCUAAAUCUUUUUUUUUUUAAGUACUGAAAAAAUAUUAUUAUGAUAUAAAUAAAAAAAUAUUCCUACUAUAAAAAAAAAUUACCAAGCAAACUGUACAUUUUUGCAAUUACAUUCAAGUUGUGAAAUUAAACCAAAAAACACAUUAUAUAUACACUUCCCAGCUAAAUUGGGCUUGGACUGGGCUUUCUGAUUGGGCCGCAAAAGCCAACUCCACAGCGCGAGUAUUGCACUUUUUUCUACUCGAGCGAGUCCCGCCAACACUCUCUGUAUAUAAAAACCGCGGGAAUUCAACGUGAGCCGUCCGGUGUGUUAGACCAAAAAAUCCAUUCAAAACACAACAACGACCAAUCAGUCUCAAAUCUUUUUGAGCCUUUUACUGCAGCUGCCUCUGCAAAUAAUUUAAAUGGAGAAAUUUAAUAACAGAAACUCCAAUCACAAUCUCUAUUCAACUAAUCAAGCACCGUCAUACCAAAAUUCAAACGAACUGGUCAACGCUUCAAAAAUUACCCCAUCAAUUCGUAUCUCUCAGUUCCAUUUUGGGUUUCAAUCUGAAUUUGCAUCAACUUUAUUGUUUUUCCGAUGAAGCAAUUGUGUAUGAUUUUCUUUGUGCUCAUCGUACCGUCACUUAUCUCCGUCACCGUCGAAUCUAAGUGCACCAAAGGCUGUGACACAGCUUUGGCUUCGUAUUACGUUUGGACCGGCUCCAAUCUCACAUUCAUAGCCCAAACCCUAAGAUCUUCCCUCGUCGACCCCAACGACGUUGAAUUGACAACUAUUUUAUCUUACAACAAGCAAUUGCCGAACAAAGACAGUCUCCCUGCUGAUACGAGAAUCAACGUUCCGUUUCCCUGCGAUUGCAUCAACGGUGAAUUCCUCGGCCACGUGUUCCAAUUCUCGAUCAAUUCCGGCGACACGUACGAGAAGGUCGCGACUCUUUAUUACUCGAAUUUGACUGAUGCGGCGUCGUUGCAGAGGAUUAAUAAUUAUCCACCGACGAGGAUUCCGGAUAGGGGGACGCUUAAUGUGACCGUGAAUUGUUCGUGUGGCGAUGCUGACGUGUCUAAGCAGUACCGGUUGUUUGUUACGUAUCCGUUGAGACCGGGUGAUAGCUUGCAGUCGAUUGCGAGGAAUGUGGGUUUGAGUGACAGUUUGCUGCAGAAUUAUAAUCCUGGUGUGAAUUUUACUCGUGGGAGUGGUUUGGUCUUUAUUCCGGGCAGAGGUGAUUGUUUCUUCCUGUCAAAGAUUUAAUUUUGUGUGCUUUAGACAAUACUGAUACGAAGUUAAUGAAUCUUUUUUUUUUUUUUUUGGUUAAAUGAGGGUUUGAAAAUUGUGUUGAAAAGGGUAAUUAUUUGAUGGGAAUUUGAUGCAUAGCUGUGGCAUUUGUUAAUUUAAGGUAUGUCUGGAUUGAGAUGUUGUGGCUUUUUUAAUUUACAGCUGUUCUGUAACACACACCUCACCAGCAGUGGGUGGAUGGUUUUGUAAACAUUAACUGCCAAGUAAAAUGGAUAUAUACCAAAUGGUUUUGAUGUUCUGCUUACACAGUUAAGUAGAAGCAGGACAAUUACAAACCUAUCCUUAUAUGAUGAGUUUGAGGUUUAGAGGUUCGUAUAUUUAGUGAGGACAAUCAAAUGGGAUACGGGUGUUGGUCAUAGGGUUUGGUGUGGAGUUAAGGUAAAUAAUUAUCUUCUGGUUCAAAAGUUUGAUUGGACUUACUAUUUUAUAGUGGCUCAGGGUUAGUAUUGUACGUUGUAGAUUUUGCUUUAGAAUGUCUACUAGCUUCACUCUUCAGUGAAUUUCUUGUCAGUUGGUGCUGUUUGGAGGUUUGUGGGUUAGCAGGAGUUGUUAUGUAUUCAUGUGUGGAGAAGUUAGUAUGCAGCAACUUUUGUUUUAUGUUUUGGUUAUAAUUACUGGAAUAACCCUUUGUUUUGUCAAGCCAUUGGCAUAGAUGAUUUGAGUAGUAGCACCAUGCAGCGGAUAAGGAUAUUAUAUGUUAGAUACUUUUUUUUCCCUGUUCUAUAAUCUGGUGAAUUUUGUAAUGCUACUAUUUAUUAUGGACCUGUUAACCAUUUUGGAAGAGCAAAUCGGUAUCCCCUCAAAAUUGGGCAAACUGUUAACUAGAUGGGU
RNAcentral lists this long non-coding RNA (47634 nucleotides) under Citrus sinensis (sweet orange). Its description in RNAcentral is "long non-coding RNA (CSIN_LNC000790)". The record is from RNAcentral. Lineage: Eukaryota; Viridiplantae; Streptophyta; Magnoliopsida; Sapindales; Rutaceae.